Molecule: long non-coding RNA, 85852 nt
Filed under: Coffea arabica (coffee)
Lineage: Eukaryota; Viridiplantae; Streptophyta; Magnoliopsida; Gentianales; Rubiaceae
Description: long non-coding RNA (CARA_LNC002164)
Source: RNAcentral
UUUUUUUUUUUUUUUGGUCAAAAAGAUAAUCAACCAUUCAACUAGGUGGAAUUGGCAGCAACGUGGACCCCAACUAUGAUAAUCAAUUAUUCAACUAGGUGGAAUUGGAGCUAGGCACGUAUUGGGUUAAAUUGGCUUCACCCAAAAUCCAAAUUUAUCUUGAACUAAUUACAAAUGAAAAUUGAUAAAAUUAGUUGACUCUGUCAUCAACAUUCAUAAAAGCCUAUGUUUUAGUCGCGUUGAUUCACAAUAACGGUAGUGAUUAGGGGGAUUUAAGACACUUUGAUGAUUCUAUUGUCCAAAGCAAGAGCGGUCUGGCCGGAGGGCUAAUUACUUAGAAUAUUGUAAAAAAAAAAAAAAAAUCGGAGCUGAUAGGAGCCUGAUAUCAAAUUAUUGGUGCCGGACUGCUGACACAAUUUAUUUAUUUUUUUUAAAAAGAUCAGUGUCAGCCCGACGGCCAGUCAAAAGUUUUUCUUUUCUGCCAGUCUGGCAGCCAGUAAAUUACUACUCAAGACAAAGUAGAAAAAUGAUAGGAAUCUAUAGUUGGCAGCUUGAAACGAGGAGGGAGAGGGUAAUCCUCUAUUUCGGGUGUGAAGGGGGGAAGCAGGUUUCUAAUCAAGCAGAAAUGGUAAAGGAGGAAACAGCAAAUCCUUCUCAGGAAGGAAGUAAGAAUAGAAUCCUACCGGUUCCUUUACUAGUUAUAUUUCAAAUGAGAAAAGUCUUUACUUUACUUGAAGCUUAGUAAGGGAGUCAAUAGACUAAUUGACUCAUUCUGUAACAUAGGAAAAGAAAGGGGAUGGUCUCAGAAUCUUACCUAAAAAAGAUCAAAGGUGCUCUGAAAAUAAUUGUUUUGAUACAAUAUUCCCUUACAAUUUAGUAAAUAUUCCCUUACAGUAGGUUAUAUUUACAAUAUUCCCUUAUUUAAUACAAUAUUCUCUUACAAUUAAAGUAGUAAAUAUAACCUACUUUAUUUAAUACAGUCAACUUUUCCACCAACAAUUGUUUUGAUAUAUGUCUUGAAUGGUAUUAUAAGUAAUGUAAAGGUAUAGUGAUUAGUGACACUUCAAAUAUUAAUGUAAGGGUAUUUUAGAAAAACAUUAGACUAUAUUUACUUUUUCAUCAAAAUUAACUAAUUUUUUAAAAUUAGUCUAGAAAAAAACCAAGACUAUCAAAGUAGGACAGAUGGAGUAUUACUCAGCAAACUUCUUAUAUUAGUUCAAGAAAUUCAAAAUAAAUAUUCAAAAAUAAUUGGUAUAACUUUACAUAGCUGCGAAAAAAAAUUAAAACUAUCAAAAUGGGACGGAAGAAGAUUUGUCAACAAACUUCUUUUAUUAGUUCAGAAAAUUUCAAAAUAAAUAUUCGAAAAUAAUUGGUAUAAUUUUACAUGGCUUUGUGAAAGGUAUGGCCGACUUUUAAAAAAAUGAAAGAAAGAAAGAAAAAAAACCAUCCUGUACCACAGCUUGGUUAUAACGAAGAGAAAACUUUAUUCAUUCACAAACUUUGAGAAUGUCCUUUAUUCAUUCAAUGAAUUUUUUUUUUUCUUUAACUUUUUGCAGCUGUCAACGCAGCCAGUCAAAGAAAAACUUUUGACUGGCCUUUUAAAAAAAAAAAAAUUGUGUCAAGGCCGUGAGUGUCUGAAUUUUUUUUUUGACAAUAUUUUAAGUAAUUAGCCACGCAUCAGCCCCCUCUAUUAUGCAUUUAUAUUGCCUCAAUAAAGCAAAAAAGAAAAAACCACUUGCAGACACAUUCAAGUGGUACAUUCAAGUGGUGGGCUCAGUGGUACAACAGAAAACAAAGAAACAUCAAAAUAAAUGAUCCAAGAGACAUCAAAAUAUAAAUGAUCAAAAUAUAAUGAACCUUCAAGCUAGCUCUCUAAUUUUCUUCAAUUGUUUUCUUUCUUGAGCAAAUCACUAAAUUUGAUCACUUUCUCUUCUAAUUCUCUCGUAUCAAUAAUCAUGACCAACAAAGUAAAAAGUAUAUGAAAAAAAAAUUGAGGGCUUCUUCAACCCUUGAUAUUGUGGAAGCAGAGAAUUUGAGAUUUCUGCAAUUAUUAGUGUCAAUUAUAUCAUAAAAUAGAUGCAUUACAAUAAUAAAUGUAAACUCUAAGAUAAUAAAUAUAAACAGUAAAAUGAUAACUUGCAAAAUUAAUGUUACCAAUAUACAACGGCCAAAGAAAAUGAUCGGAUUAAAGAAGUGAAAAUUGCUACUAAUUUGUAGUAGUACUUCUUUUCAAGAGUUCGGACUUAAAUGCAUGCUAAUUAUUUGUACAAAAUUAUCUACUUAUUUCAUAAACACAUUUUUUAAUUAUUUUUUUUAUUAUAUAUAUAUAUCACAUCAAAAAAAUAAUAAAAUAUUUUUUAAAAAAAAUUAUUCCAAAUAAUCUCAUAUUCAAACACAAUUAUACGCCUGUUUCAGUGUUUCUUGGGCCAUUGGAAAUUAAUUGAAGUCUUCUCACUAGUGGUCCAUUUGGAAAGCCAGAGAGAUGGGGUACAUUUUAACAUUAGUACUGAUCGUCUAUUUUCAAUUCCUUCAAGAAAAAUAUUAUAAUUAAUAUCUACUUACAUAUGAGCUCCAUCAGAUCCGAUCAAUGCAAGCGGAGGUCAUCUCCGUCUCCGUCUCUUAUAAUGCAAGGAACUUCCUCAAUUUCACUCUCAAAUUUUAGUGUCGCAUAAAGAGAAAUAUUAACAAAUCUCGCCUUCUCCACAUCUGACAAGAAUAUUCAAUUAUUCAACAAACAAACGGAGCAAGAAAGAAAAGAUUAACAAAUAACAACGUAGUGGUGACAGUAGUGUAGGAAUUACGUGAAAGUUGCAUCUCGGUUUGGAAAAGCAAAGAAUUUUGUCUUUUUAUAAUUUAUAAUUAGUCAUCUAUGUUACCUUUAUUUUGUCUUUUUUUUUUUUCUUUUUGUUGAAAAUUCAAGCAUUGCUGUUCAAUAUGCACGCUCCAAAAAUUAAUCUUAUAAUCCAAAAAUCAAUAGCUAGUUUUUAUUUUCAAAAGAAAAUAGUAAAAUGACUUCAAUAGAGAUUUUAGUUUGAUGGAAUCUUUGACUUGAGUUUAUAUAAUUACUAACAAGGGCCUUAAGCCAUGAACAAAGAGUACAGAGGAGUCAGCAUCGGUCCGUGAUUUACGUUUCACGGGUCCUAAUAGAUUUGUAACCCGAAUCGGUUCUAUUGGUUCGACAAAAAAUUAAAUCAUAACUGUGUUCAUGGUCAUAAAGUACUCGAAUGAUUUGGCAAAGCGGUUCACGGACCCGGAGGUACUAAGACUCAGUACCAAAGUUAAAAAAGAAAUCACAUUUUCAUAAUUGAGAAUUAGAAAAUAAGUAAACACCUAAAAGACUUUAUUUAAAUAUAAUUCAUUAUUUGUUAAGAAAGAUCAAUACUUGCAUAUUCAUAGUAAAAACAUGUUUGUAAAUAUCACUUAUUCUCAGCAACAAAAGCUAAAUAUAUUAUAUAAUUAGCAAGUUAAGACUUUUAUAUUGUUGAGAUAGUCAAGUAUAUCAUCUCAAAUAUAAAUAUUUGAUUAAAGAUGAUUAUAUAUUCCUCUAUUAAUUUUAGUUUUAAUGGACAAAAUUAUAAGUAUAUCCUUACAUAUGAAUUGGGUCAGGUAUCUGCGAUUUGAAUUGCGACAAGACAUACUCCCUUGUUAAUCCUGCUACCCGAACUACACAUAUUAAAACCGAUUCGAGUAUCCCAAAUUGCGGUUCAAAAAUCAAUAUUUACGAUUUUUUGGGUUUCUCUCAUCAAAAUAAACAGCCUGUGUUACAUAAACUUGCAAAUCUUUAAUACUUACAAUCAAACAAAAAUUUAUUCCUAUCGUACCAUAGAACCCAACCGACAACGGGAAAAUGAGGAAACCGAAGAACAUUAAAGCGGUUAACAGUUGAGAAUUUUUUACAACCAAAAUUUAGCCAACUAAUGAAAUCUAAUUGAGCCACCCAAAGAAGGGGAAUUGAUAGGAAAAGAUGUAGCCAUCCAAAGACAUGGGGCUUCAGGACGCUCCUAAUUAUGUGUUUAGAUUCCUUGCCCGCACAAAACGCAGGAGUUCUAUCGAGGCCAUCGAUCCUUUCGAUUUUUACCUCAAUCUUCCACAAAAGCACCAGAAAAAGCCAGAUCAUACAGAUGACCAAUUACAAUCUCGAAGAAAAACUGCUACGUACCGUAGCACUCCCUGAUGAUAUAUCAUCAAGAAGAAAUAGAGCAGUAAUUAGUUGUUUGUUCAUCAAUUUCAUUAGCAAAAGGAAAAAAAAAAAAAGAGCAUUUAAUUAGUGGUUUGUUCAUCAAUUUCAAUGUAAAUAUAAAUAAACUCCUUUAAAUGAAAAAAGCAUGAUUAUUUCUACAAGCCAAUUAAUGGUAACAACAAAAAAAAUUACCUGAUAUUUGCACCAGCUGAGGCCCUUCAAUAUUUUCUAUAAAUGAUCUUCAGAUUCUCAUUUCCAUUAUAUUUCUGUGCUUCUUCAAUUUCCCGUACUAAAGAUUUGACGCCAUCUCCGCAAAAACUCACAUUAAUUGUUUCAAGAGUUGAUAUACGCCCUAAACAAGCAGGCAUCAUUUCCAAAUAAGAAAUUCCGUCGAGUUCUAAUUGCUGAAGGCACGGGAAGUAAUCAUCACUGUCAGGGUCUGUCUCUAUCCACUCAACAAUCGCUACACAUUUCAAAGUCAAGACCCUGAGUUUAGGUAAUCCUCCUUCCAUCAGCUCCCAUUUUCGGCCCUCCAUUGACUGGACUCUUAAUUUGAGGACUUCAAGAUUGGGUAGUUGUUCAAUCAAUGACAUUUCUCUACAGGGAAGACCCAGAGCUUCAAGACUCAACUCUUUCAAAUUCAUGGGAAAAGAAAGCUCAACAUGUUCCACUGAGCCUAAGAGGCAGAAGCCCCCUAAGGUGACUGACUCUAGGCAUUCUAGUCGACUCAUGUUGCAGCAUACUCUGUUUUGAUCCCCCAAAUGGAAAAUUUUAAGUCGGCGAAUGUUGGGAAUCCUUCUCAACAGUUUCUCUCCUUCUUUAUCAAGAUAAAGACGCAGAGUAGAGAGUGUGUCUAAAUUAGGUAAAGUAGAGAGGUUUUCAACAACAUUGUCAUUGGAAGAGAAAGGAAUAACGACGCCAUGCCUUACAUGUACAUGCCUCAACUUCUUCAUGUUCCAGAUGCUAUCUGGCAAUGAAACCAUCUGGUGAGAAUAUAGACGAAAGGUUUCCAAAUGUGAGAGCUUGGCUAUAGAUGGUGGAAUGAAUUCCAUUUUCCAAGCUCUAAGGGCUAAGUACCUCAAACAAAGAAGUGAUUCAACUUCAGCUGGAAGCUCCUUCAGCCUUAGCAUAAUGCCCUCUAAAUUCAAAACUUUAAGUUGUUUGUAGAUGCAAAAAAGGAAGGAGAUGUUACGCAACUCAAACUUAUCUCCUGGAGUAGCAUCAAAGAAUAGCAGAGUACCUAAAUAUGGACAAAAUAGCUUUGACCUUAUAAAAUCUUCUCCACUGGAGCAAAUGGACAACCGAGGUAGGUUGGGAGGCUCAUUAAAGGUAGAGAGCUCAUCAUAUCCUCGCAGGACCUGAAGAAAUUUCUUUUCUUUAGCCUCGCCCUUACAGAACUCAAAAAUCAAAUCGUGAAUGUAACAAGUUUUGACUCCACCAAUGGAUCUGCUUUUACUUACCAUAACUAAGUUUCGACCAAUUAGGUCCAUCAGAUAUUCUUCUGCAAUGACCUCCGAUCUUUUUCCUUCAAUUUUUUCCACAAACCCUUCUGCAAUCCAUAGACGCAUCAAAUUCUUGGCACCAAUUUUUUCAUCUUCUCGAAAUGCAGCAAAAUACAGCAAGCAUGCCUUCAAGUGAUACGGUAAAUGCUCAUAACUGAGCUCCAAUGACUUCUUGCACUGGUCUGUACCAGACACCAUGGUUGAAGUUAAACUUUCAGCAAAUUCUUCCCAAACCAAACUAUCAUGCCCUAUAGUUGCCAGAACUCCAGCAACAACAACAACUACUAGUGGCAAUCCCCUGCACUUCUUGGCAAUCUUCGUAGCAAUUCCACACAAUGCUUGAGGACAAUCUUCUUUUCUAAAUACCUUCUUCAGCAGUAAUUCAAAACUUUCUUUCUCACUGAGUGGACGAAGAUUGUGAGGUUUCCCGCCAUAUUCAACCUGUGAAGCCACAUAAGAAGAUCGACUCGUGAAGAUGAUUCUACUUCCUUUCUUUUCAUCGGGGAAUGAAAUUCUCAGCUCAUUCCAUACCUUAAUGUCCCAGACAUCAUCAAAAACAACAAGAUACCUCUUCGUCUUCAGCCUUUGAUAGAGCUUGUGAAGCAAUUCAUGUUCAUUCAAGUUUUUAAGCUCUUUGUCCAUCCUUGACCGUUUUCCAUCAGAACACAAAAUUUGUAUUAACAAGCUUUUCAUGUUAAAUUCUUGAGAAACAGUGCACCAAAGACGAAUGUGGAAGUUACAGAUUACUGAACUGUCAUUGUAAACUUUUUUGGCUAAAGUUGUCUUACCAAGCCCAGCCAUUCCCACAAUAGGAACAAUUUCCACCUGUUCUGGUCCCCAUAUAAGUCGUUCAAUUACUUUUGCUGCCUCGUCAUCGAGACCAACCAUGACUUCGUGGGCUAUUGGCAUUUUACCUUUUGAUAGAAUGUGGCUGGAAGUCUUGCUAACUUCUGGUGCUCUUAAGCUGUGAAAGGAAGGAAGACUUUCAAUAAUGCUUGAGCCACUGAUCUGAUCCUUAAAAUGCUUGAUAUGGAUGUUGGUAUUAGCCAGCAUAUCAUAACAGUCAAGGGCCUCUGUUCUUUCUGAGAAGCUAACUUCUCCUUCCUUCACUCUGUUUAGAGAAGGCAAGCAAAUUAUAAUGCCUGCCUCACAAAGAAGAGCACCAAUUUUUUCGUUUUGUUCAUCCAUCUUCUCCUGCUGCUCCCUUAAAAUGCUUCUCAAGAACCUCAGUCCUGCAUAGAGUAUUCGCAUUUCAUCUUUCAAAGAAUCCAUAAAGCUAGAGCUGCAGCAUAACAGCUGCCAGAGACAACUUAUGAGAGAAUCAUUGAAGUUUUUCAAUAUCUGCUUAUCCAUCAUUCUAUUAUGCAAUGAUUUUGAGGAUCUUGUAGCUCUAAGAACUUCCAUAUAAAUCUCAUAGACUUGAAAAUCAAUAGGUGUGAUUUUCUGUUGUUGCUCAUAUAUCAUGGAGCAGAACUCAGGAUUGUGCCGCUCCUUACCAUCCCAAACAGAGCACAUGUAAAAGAGGUGUGCUGCGUUCAAAGUCACCACUUCAAAGUGAGCCAAUAGCAAGGCAGGAAUAUCUGCAGUUCCUCGCAAUUUGGCAAAGGGAAUGAAGUUUUUCAAGAAUGUUAGCUUUGCUUCAAGGGCUUGGAAUUGAGCACUAACUUGGGGAUCCAUAUCAUCAAUAAUACCCAAAUAGACAGUUGUUAAAUCCGCUAGAUUUUCUAGAAUGAGGUCUAUAAAUUCGAUUAGUUCAUCAACUGGCAUGCAAGAAUUUGAUUCCAAUGAUCUGCUGCUUGGCAAAGUAAAGUAAACUUGGAUGAUUUCUUGCUUAAAUGAUUUGAUCUGUUUCAAAAACUCAGAAAACACUUCAUAGGGAACACGACCUAGGCCACUGCCAUCAAAUGCUGAUAUAUCAUGGCAAAACGAGUACUGAAAGUCCUCCUCAUAUUUGUGAACGUUAUCUUCAAUGCAAGAUAAGAAAGAUGGAAGACUCACCUUCUUCACAACAUUCUCAGAUUCCAAGUACAAAUCAUUGCUGUGGCUCCACUUUCUUGCACACAUAACAAAUGUUUUGUGAAAUCUUAUAUCCAGGAACGCAGCUCCAAAAUUGCAUUCUUCAAACGCAUUGUACCCGAAACGGAGCAUGGAUUUUUCCUCAGUUUCACUCUCAAAUUUUAAGGGAGAAACAGAUCUCGCCGACUGCAGAGCAAGCAAGUAUUUCUUUCCUGAAAUUUCUUUUUUCCCGUGGGAAGGUGAAGAAGAGAAAUGAGAUAAUAAAUUAUUCAACAGACAAACGGAGCAAGAUCAGGAAAGAACAGAUGAAUCAAAGUUAACGAGAGAGCGGUCAAAUAAUCUGGAAAUGAUCUUGGUCUGAAUAAAGUUAAGAAAUUUUAUUGACUACUACUGCAUAAUUUUUUGGAGUUUUUUUUUUUUAAUACCCGUUUCGUUGUUGAGAAGGACCGGUCUGGCAUUGCACCCCACACUGGCUUUUCGUUCUGAAAGAAAUUUUUUUUUUAUUGGUUUUUGGACUAUUAAUGUGGCAUUGCACCCCACAUUUAGACUAUUUAUGCCGUCAAUUAUGACGGCUAAUCCUUAGACUGUUUAAGAAGCAUUUUUGCUAACUAAACCCACACUAGUUGCUCAUCCCUUCCAUCACACCCCAAUACACACACACACACACACAUAUAUAUAUAUAUAUGUAUGUAUGUACAUAGGUAGUGUCAAAAUGACACACAUUGUCCUCCGUGGUGGAAUUAGCUAAUCUUUGUGGUUACUAAAUAUUUUAUCUGGACAUUAAGGUAUUCUUGACAUUUCGUUUGGCUUCAUUGUCGUGGGCUGUUUUUGUUAUUUUGAUAUUUCAGUCCAAAAUAUGGAAAAACUUAUUUAUAAUAUUUAAAAUUAUAGAAGAUUUACAUGAAAAGUGCUGAAGCUAAAUAAAUUUAACCAAGAUUUGUGCCUUUCAUUAGGUAAGACUUUCUUACAUGUUGGCCUGGUUACCAUAGUCCAAGAGAGAAAAAGAAAAGAAAGGGGCCAAAAAGGAAAAAGGAACUUUAACUUUCAAUUGAUAGUUUCUUUCAAAAUUCAAGUAGUGUUGCUUAAUAAGUUUUACAUCCUAUGAUUGCAAACAACAUAAUUUUACAAAAUAACAAUUUUUUUUUAUCUGUAAUUGCUAAGAAAAUUGUAAAAUGACUUUAUUAGAUAAUUUUAUCGGCUCAAUGGAUUCUCUAAGUUGAAUGAAAAUAAUUACAUCUUAACAAAGUCCGCAAACCUUGAUAUAUGAACAAGCAAAACUAUAAAAUACAAGUCAAUUAACCGCAAAAAUCCUUAGUAAACUCCAUUUUUUCACCCUCCCCCCUUGUUAAGAUUGCUUGACAAGCAAUCAAUUUCACUUUACACCCUUUUGAAUGAUUUCCACUUUGCAUCUCAAAUUUUUAUUUCUGGAUAGUUUGCACUUUAAAAUUACUAAUUACCAUGAAAUUGCACCUUAAAAUUUAUUUUGGAUAUUUUGCACCUAAAGUUAAUAAUCCAUCCAAAAUUACUGUGGUUUCACACAAUAUUAAUGUCAUUGUAGGAGCAAUAUGCACCUAUACACUGGCUUCUUAACUGUAAAAGUGGGAUUGGUUCAUCAGAAUGUCCCUCAAAAAAAAAAAUUAAUAAAAGAGUGAAUACAUAUGCGUGUUAGAGCACUUUCACUUGCAAGAAGUUUGAUGACUUUAGGAUUUGAGACAGUUUAAUGAUCUGGAAUUAGCACCCACCAAGAAUGGUCUGGACUGAUCAGCCUCCUUCCUAUUAUAUUCAUCAGCAAACAAACGAAUAAAUUAUAGUGUAACCCCAUACAAUUUAGUGCAUUUUCGUAUAAUCAUAGUGUGGUAAAAUGUAUAUGACUCCACGAUUUGAAGCACAUUGUCAAAAUGACGGAUAUCGUCCUCUGCGUUGGAAUUAGUUAAAAUGUCAAAAUUAUUUAUAUUAAAACCCUAAAAUGAUUUUAUUAACUAACGUUGAAACUCUAAGAUUUAGAAGUCUUGGAAUCUAAUUCUCCUUCCUCCUCUCCGCUUUUGAAAAAGAAAUCCUAUUUCUUCCUUGUUAAAAAAAUGUUAAUAUAUAUAUAUAUAUAUAUAUAAGAUAAAUUACACUUUUGUACCUUGAAAAGUUAUUCAUAACCAUCAGGCCACUUUACCAUCCUCUGCGUUAGAUCUCCAUCAAUUCUAAUAUUAAUUUCCUUGACUAACUUUAUGUCACAUGAAUUUAAUCAAAAGUCGAUCUACUAAAGGGCCAGAUAGAAGGAUGUUGGCAGCAUCAGAAGUCUUCAACUGAUCCAACAGGCCUAUUUCUGCUGGAAUUUGACCUGUUAAUUGGUUGUUGUUAAGUAGUAGGGUAUUUAGAAAUGUACAAUUUAAAAGUUUACAGGAAUCUCACCUUUUAUAGAAACAGAUCUCACCGACUGCAGAGCAAGCAAGUAUUUAGUAUUUCUUUUGGAGUUUUUGACAAGUGAUAGGUUGCAAUUUAUCUAUUUAUUUUAUUAUUAAUUUCCUCUGUUACCUGACCCGAUGUGGAUUAAUUAUUAGAUUCUACUCAUUUUUCGUAAUUUGCAUUUAUUUCAGGGAGUAGAACGAAAAUAUAACAACGGGUGCCAAUUUGACAGAAAAGAAAUCCAGAUGAUAGAGCUUGUCCCAGGGGCAUUUUUGGAAAAGAAGAUGUCACGCCCACUUUGAUAAUUUCCGCAAAGAAAUGACGGAUGAAGGGCUUCUUCCUCCUGGUUAGGGAUGGCAACGGGGCGGGGUUGGGGCGGGGGACGAGAGACCUAUUAGUUCCCCCCGUCCCCCGCCUCCCACUCCCCCUGCCCCGCCCCGCCCCCGCCCCGCCUUGCCCCGCUUCCCCCGCGGGGGCACCCGCGUUAAUAAAAUUUUAUUAUAUAAUUUUAUUAUAAUUAAAUUUUAAUAAAUAAUCAAGUACUAAAAUAUCAACACAUCACCAAAUUAUUAUUCAUUGUAAUUUUACAAUUGAAACUCAUAAAAACAAUCAAACAGAAGUUAUUUGAAUACAAUCCAAUAUGAUGAAAUAAAUAUAACUAAAAUAGUCAAAUUUUCACUUUUAGUACAAAUGCAAUCACUAAUUCAUUAUUGUGUUUGUGCUUUUUUUUGAGAAAAAAGUGUUAUUCUAUAAAGUGUAAUUAGAAAUUUAGUAUAAAUGUAUUAGUAAAUUUAGUAUAACUAAUUAAUAAAUUCUAUUAGUAGACAUGUAUAAUUAUUCAUAUAAUUGAUAAUAUCAAUUAUAUUACAUAAAUUAAUAUACAUUAUAUAAUACAUCUAACUAAUAAUAUAAUUAUCAUAAGUUUAUAACUAAUUAACUUACAUAUAAUAUAUAGUCAUUUAUAUAUAUAUAUAUAUAUAUAUUUUUUUUUUUGCGGGUGGCGGGGCGGGGGAUGGGGCGGGGGAGUAUACCCCCGCCUCCCGCCCCGUUUCUAAGCGGGGGGAAAAAUUUCCCCCCGCCCCCGCCCCACCCCCCGCCCCAACCCCCGCCCCGUGAGCCCCCCGCGGGCACCCGCCCCCAUUGCCAUCUCUACUCCUGGUGAGCCGCCGCAAUAAAGGAGGAAAAACAGGAUCAGAUGGAGGCGAGCUUAGUUUUAGUUUUCCGUCUGUAGCUUAGCUUGAGAUUGUUGACUUUUCCCUAAAAAUGUUUUUUGCUUGUCAUACGCAUGGCAGGCAUUAGAAAUUGGUAGCUUUUGACUUUUCUUCAUGUUAAAUGCUUAGAGUUUUUCUAUCUUUCCUGGUAUGCCGUCCGUAGUGAGGCAAAGGAUCAUUUCGUGUAACUUUGCUAUCUCCUCCUGGUUGGAGCGGAUUGAGUUCUAAAAAAUCAAUGACAAUGGCCGCAGAUUUAUCUUCAAUUUCCCGUGGACUUAGUUCAUCAAAUAUGAACUAAUUUCCUUCCUACUAGUCAAGGAGCAACGAAGGCUUUGGUUCGCUUAAAAAUUAUGAGAUAGAUUUAAUUCAAUCUUUUCAUUUUAUUUAUUGGUAUCCGCAUAUUUCUUGAUUUCUAUGCUCAUGGUUAUUUAAUUAAUUGAUUGUUUUGGAUCCGGAUAACUAAUUGAUUUGGUAACCUAUCGUCAAUUAGGGCAUUAAAUCCGUAAUUGUUUAAUUGUCCUGAAAUAGUGAUAACUGGCACGAUUAGAUUCGUGUCAGGGGGAUACGCAGGCUAAUCUGAAAUAACUCUGGUAGUGCGUUAUUUGGUUAGAAUAGGGUUCCUCUAAUACGUAAGGCAAUUGGGGAAUUAAAUCUUACGGGCGUACCUAGGAUUAUUUCCUAAUUAGAGCAGUGAUUAACGGGCGUACCUUAAUCACCGACACAGUAAGGAGGAGUUGACUGUCAUCCCCUGGUUGGCAGUUAUAACCUAUUUAUUGAUAAAUAAUCGGAAUUGCCUUUAUUUCAAUGAUCAAUUAGGUGAACCAUUGCUGAAGUUACUUUUUUGCUAGAUCUUUAGUUAAUAUUACCUUGAUUUUAGUGAAGUGCCAUUUGACUUUUAGUUGCCUACUUUAUUUUAUUUUUAAUUGUUUCCUUGUUUUAAUUGAUUUAGGCCUUUAAUUAUUGUUAUUCUAAAUUCAGUGAAUUGUGGUUUAAUUUCUAGUUAGUUAUUUAUUUUUAUUUUCUUAUUUGAAUUUAUUUGAUUGCUGUCGUUCCUACAAAAUCACCCCCUGUGUUAUUUUGAAUUUCUUAAGAAACAAAUAUAUCCAGUCCCUGAGGAUACGACCCUACUUGCCCUGUCUACAAAUUCAUAAUUAUUUGUGAAAGAAAUAACCAUCCCAUUCGGGUAUAUCGGAUUAAGCAAACUCUUCGGGAACAAGGUGAAUCAAGUAACCCAUUGCACACCUAGAGUCCCUGCUCCAGUACUUGGAAUUGGGUCUUGGUCAUUUUAACUGGCAAUUAGGUUUAAUUUUAUUAUUGUGCAGGCUUCGACACCCUGUCAAUUUUUGGCGCCGUUGCCGGGGACUGGCGUUAUUAUUUGUUCCUUUUUAAAUUCAUUCUUUUUUUUUCCUUUUGCUCUAAUUUUCUGGUAUUUUUCUAGUGCAUGCCUUGGUCUUCUCGUACAGGUGAUUUGGUUUUUGACCCUGAGGUAGAGAAGACUGCGCGUAGAAUAAGAAAAGAGACCAGACAGCUCAGAGAGGAGCACUCCUGUGCUACAUCUCGGAGACCUGAGUCAGAAGCUGAACCAACAGAUUCAUUUGGUGACACUUCGAGUGACUCGGAGCAAGAAGAAAUCCCCAUGACUAAUGCACGAACAUUAAGGGAGUUGGCUGCUCCUGAUUUAAAUCAGCAGCCUUUAUGCAUUACUUUCCCAAGUUUGAGUGAAAACACUUCAUUUGAAUUGAAAUCAGGUCUAAUUCACCUUUUACCCUCUUUUCAUGGUUUACCAGGUGAAGAGCCGUAUAAGCAUCUGCAAGAGUUUGAUAUCGUAUGCAAUAGUAUGAAACCCCCGGGAAUUACAGAAGAGCAGAUAAAAAUGAGGGCAUUCCCCUUUUCCUUGAAGGAUUCUGCAAAGGACUGGCUGUACUACCUGCCACCAGGUAGCAUCACCACGUGGGACCAAUUGAAGAAAAAUUUUUUAGAUAAAUAUUUCCCUGUGUCUAUGGCUGCAAACCUAAGGAAAGAAAUUUGCGGGAUCAACUAGCAUCCAGGGGAGUCACUCUAUGAGUAUUGGGAACGGUUCAAGAACUUGUUGCACAAGUGUCCCCAGCACCAGAUAAGUGAGCAGUUGCUCAUUCAAUAUUUUUAUGAGGGGCUCCUUUUCAGAGAUAGGAGCAUAAUUGAUACUGCAAGUGGAGGGGCACUGGUGAACAAAACCCCUCGGGAAGCAAGGGAGCUAAUAGAAGGGAUGACAGAGAAUUCACUACAGUUCGGUACGAGGGAGGAUGUCCCAGUACGCAAGGUGAAUGAGGUUGAGACAUCCUCUAUCCAGCAGCAGCUAACUGAGUUGACCUCGUUUGUUAGGCAACUGGCUGUGAAAAAUGCAUCACAAGCCAGGGUAUGUGGGAUUUGUACUGGUAUGGGACACUCUGCAGAGAUGUGCCCAAUGAUUCAGGAAGAAACUGCAGAACAGGUGAACAUGACUGGUCACGCGCCCACGCCAAGAAGGGCCUAUGACCCGUACUCGAAUACGUACAAUCCCGGCUGGAAGGACCACCCAAAUCUCAGUUAUGGAAGAAAUAGGCAGCCCAACUAUGCACCGAACAGGCAGUCUAAUUUCGUGCCAAAUAAGCAACCAGGGUACCAGCAGCAAUAUCAACCCCGACCACUUCCGCCCCCGAGCUCUGGUCCAUCUUUGGAGAAGAUGAUGAAACAAAUGAUGGCAACCAUGACGCAAAAUCAGCAAAGGACGGAGGCAACCAUUAUGCAAAAUUAGCAAAGGACGGACUCUAAAAUGCAGGACAUAAGGAAUCAGAUAAGUCAAAUGGUUACAACAAUCAACCGUUUGGAUUCCCAGAACCAAGGUAAAUUGCCAUCUCAGCCUGAAUUAAAUCCGAAGAACGUGAGCGCAAUGACCCUAAGGAGCGGGAAGGAAAUUCAGGGGCUUGAAUCUGUGAUCCCUAAGGACUAGGAUGAGAAAAAGAUUGACAAUGAGCUUGAGAGGGAGGACAGCAAUGGUGCAGAUCCAAAGGUACUUCCAAACCCAAUAAUUACAGUUAAAACUAACCUACCUCCUUUUCCUAGCAGGUUGGAAAAAUCGAAAAAACAGGAUAAGAAGAAAGAGAUCUUGGAGGUAUUUCGCAAGGUGGAGAUAAAUAUCCCCCUCUUAGACGCCAUCAAACAAGUAUCAAAAUAUGCCAAGUUCUUAAGGGACUUGUGUGUCAACCGAAGGCGAUUCAGGAGAGAUGAAAGGAUCAUUGUUGGGGAGAAUGUGUCAGCGGUCCUGCAGAGGAAGCUUCCACCCAAGUGCGGGGACCCAAGUAUGUUUACUAUCCCCUGUAGAAUAGGCAACACUGUGAUUAGAAGGGCCAUGUUGGAUCUAGGAGCAUCAAUUAAUGUCAUGCCUAAAUCUAUCUAUGCUUCUCUAAAACUAGAUCCAUUAAAAGAAACUGGAAUAAUCAUUCAAUUGGCUGACCGAACUAAUGCAUACCCUGAUGGGUUGGUUGAAGAUGUGUUGGUAAAAGUUAAUGAUUUGGUGUUUCCAAUUGAUUUUUAUGUACUUGAUAUGGAUGAUGAUCACUCCCCUGAUCCCUCACCUUUGUUAUUGGGUAGACCCUUUAUGAGCACAGCACAAACAAAAAUUGAUGUUAAUAAGGGUAUCUUGUCCAUGAAAUUUGAUGGAGAAAUUGUGCAUUUCAAUAUUUUUGAUACUAUGAAAUAUCCCUCGAACUCCAAUUUUAGCUCUGUUUUUUCUGUGAGUGUUAUUGACCCUGCGGUGCAGGAAAUGUUUGAAACUGUUGGCAGGGAUGAAUUGAAAGUUGUUUUAACGAAGCAUCUCGAGUUGGAGACAACUCCUGAGGUGGAGUGGAGUGAAUAUUUAAAAUGCACGAUAGGAACACUACACUCAUUGCCAACCUCCACAAAAAGGUACGACGUUUCACCUAUAUUCAUUCCCGAACCUCACCAGAGGGUAUUGCCAUCGGUGGUGCAGGCGCCUGUUUUGGAGUUGAAGCCCUUACCAGAGCACCUGAAGUAUGCAUAUCUGGGUGACAAUGAGACACUCCCGGUGAUUAUCUCAUCGGCACUGUCAAAAACUCAGGAGGAAAAAUUGAUCCGGAUCCUUAGAGAGCAUAAAGAGGCGAUAGGUUGGACAAUCGCAGACAUUAAGGGGAUCAGCCCGGCCAUCUAUAUGCACCGGAUUAGACUGGAAGAGGAUGCUAAACUUGUUCGGCAGGCUCAAAGGAGGCUCAACCCCCUCAUGAUGGAAGUUGUAAAAAAGGAGAUUUUGAAAUUGUUAGAUGUGGGGAUUAUUUUUGCAAUAUCAGAUAGCCCUUGGGUGAGUCCGGUCCAGGUAGUCCCAAAGAAGGCAGGAGUGACGGUGGAAGCCAACCAAACAGGUGAACUCGUGCCAGUGCGCAAACCCACUGGAUGGAGGCAGUGUAUUGACUACCGUAGGCUGAACGCUGUCACAAAAAAGGACCAUUUCCCUCUUCCUUUCAUUGACCAAAUGGUUGAACGUUUGGCUUGUAGAGCUUACUAUUGCUUUUUGGAUGGAUUUUCAGGAUACUUUCAGAUAGCAAUUGCCCCAGAGGAUCAAGAGAAGACAACUUUCACAUGUCCGUUCGGGACUUUUGCCUAUAAACGAAUGUCAUUUGGGUUAUGCAAUGCACCUGCAACUUUUCAAAGAUGUAUGGUAAGCAUCUUUUCUGAGUAUGUUGAGAAAAUAAUUGAGGUUUUCAUAGAUGAUUUCAGUGUGUAUGGUGAUAGUUUUGAUACGUAUUUAGAUAACCUGAAAUUGAUCCUGAUAAGGUGUAUAGAGACUAAUCUCGUGCUUAAUUGGGAAAAAUGUCAUUUUAUGGUUGAGUACGGGAUAGUUCUGGGUCAUAUUGUAUCGUUUAAGGGCAUUGAAGUUGACAAGGCUAAAAUAGACAUUAUAUCGGCAUUACCUUACCCCGCAAAUGUACGGGAGGUGCGUUCUUUUCUUGGACAUGCAGGUUUUUACCGAAGGUUCAUCAAGGAUUUUUAAAAAAUUGGAGUCACAUUGUUCCAACUCUUACAAAAAGAUGUGACCUUUGAGUUCGAUGACAAGUGUGAAAAUGCCUUUAACAAGUUGAAAGAGUUACUGACCUCAUCCCCGAUCAUCCAACCCCCCGAUUGGGGUUUGCCAUUUGAGAUCAUGUGCGAUGCCAGUGAUCAUGCUGUAGGGGCUGUAUUUGGACAGCGAGUAGGAAAGGCAACUCACAUCAUCUAUUAUGCAUCCCGCGCCCUGAAUGGGGUCCAGUUGAAUUACUCCACCACUGAGAAGGAGUUUCUUGCAGUUAUUUUUGCUUUAGAAAAAUUCAGGUCAUAUUUGUUAGGUACUAAAGUGAUUGUAUUUUUUGAUCAUGCAGCAUUGAGAUACCUGAUGACUAAGAAAGAUGCAAAAUCGAGGCUCAUACGGUGGAUAUUGCUCAUACAGGAAUUUGACCUGGAGAUAAGGGAUAAAAGAGAUUCAGAAAAUUUAGUAGCCGACCAUUUGAGUCGUAUAUCCGUUGGGGAGGAUAAUGAACCAUUGAAGGAUGCAUUCCCUGAGGAGCAUUUAUUUUCUUUAAAUUCUCAAAUGCCUUGGUAUGCCGAUCUGGUCAAUUAUUUGGUAACUGGUAAUUUUCCUGCAAGUUGGCCAAAAUCGAAUAGGGAUAAAAUGAAAAGCGACGCCAAAUAUUUUAUUUGGGAUGACCCGUACUUAUGGAAGAGAUGUGCAGAUCAAGUGAUGAGGAGAUGUGUAAGUGAAAUGGAAUUUCAAUCGAUUUUAGUUUUUUGUCAUACUUUUGCAUGUGGGGGUCAUUUUGGACCUAAGAGAACUGCUCAUAAGGUUUUAGAAAGUGGAUUUUAUUGGCUUUCAUUGUUUAAGGAUGCCUAUGUGUUUUGUAAGUCAUGUGAUCGCUGUCAACGGGUAGGUAAUAUAGCCCGUAGAGAUCAUAUGCCCCAAGUCCCGUUGAUUUUUGUUGAAAUUUUUGAUGUUUGGGGUAUAGAUUUCAUGGGGCCUUUUCCUACUUCAUUUGGUUUUAUAUAUAUUUUGUUGGCAGUUGAUUAUGUGUCUAAAUGGGUGGAGGCCAAGGCCACUCGGACUAAUGACUCGAAAGUAGUUGCAGAUUUUAUCAGGUCUAAUAUUUUUGUGCGAUUUGGAAUGCCAAGAGUUAUUGUCAGUGAUAGGGGAACGCAUUUCUGCAACAAAACCAUAGCUGCGUUGUUUCGCAAGUAUGGUGUACUCCACAGGGUCUCAACGUUGUACCACCCCCAGACCAAUGGUCAAGCGGAGGUAUCGAAUAGGGAGAUUAAGUCCAUUUUGGAGAAAAUGGUGCGCUCCGAUAGGAAAAAUUGGAGUCAACGGUUGGAGGACGCGCUCUGGGCCUACCGCACUGCAUACAAGACUCCUAUAGGGAUGUCACCGUACAAGUUGGUGUUUGGGAAGCCGUGUCACCUUCCAGUGGAGUUCAAGCACAAAGCCUUUUGGGCGAUAAAGCAAUGCAACAUGAACUUAGAGGAAGCCGGUGCCCAACGAAAGUUGGAUUUGCAAGAAUUGGAGGAGAUCCGGAACGAAGCCUACGAAAAUGCAUUAAUUUAUAAGGAGAGAAGCCAGACAUUUCAUGAUCAACAAAUUUCAAGAAAAACUUUUGAAAUUGGUCAGAAGGUCCUCCUGUACCAAUCCAGACUCAAGUUAUUCCCAGGUAAGCUACAUUCCCGUUGGAUUGGACCUUUUGUUUUGACUCACGUUUUUCCCUAUGGCACAGUUGAAAUCCGGAGUGCUAAGACAGACAACAAGUUUGUGGUGAAUGGACACUGUCUCAAACAUUAUUACGAAGGUUUUUUGAGGGGAGAGGUGGAGACAAUAAGUGUAGACGCACCACCGUGUCCUAAUCAGUGACACUUAAUCAUGUCUAGCCAAAAACAUUAAAGAAAGGCGCUCAUUGGGAGGCAACCCAAUUGUUUCUUUUAAUUGUUUGUUUUGAUUUCUUGUGGUAGUUUAAAUAUGUUUUCCUUGAGUUUGAUUGGUUUCGGGUUUGAAAUUUUCAUUUUUGCUGAUUUGUAGGUGUUCUUCUGUCAUGACGCGCCCGCGCGAUGACGUGGGGAGCGCUCACGGUCAGAGAGUUCUCCUGCUCUCAUGACGCGCUCGCAUCAUGACGCCCAGGAAGCUCAGGGUCAGCAAGCUCUCUUGCUCUCAUGACGUGCUCGCGUCACGUUCGCGGGAAAGGUAAGGAUUCAAAAAAAAAAAAUUCUUCUUAUCACCAUAGCUUUAGUUUCCAAAAAUUCAAAAAGGAGAAAUUUUUUUUAAAAAAAAAUAAAAAAAAAAAGAAAAAUUUAAUUUCCGUACAAAAUUUUUUUUUUCUCUGUGGCUUAAAUGGAGCCUAAAGACAAGAAAAAAAAAGCCAAAACAGUUUUUUUUUCUUUUCCUUCUUUUCUUUUCUUUCUUUCCUUUCUUUUUUUUCUUUCUUCUUCUUUCUUUCUCUUUUCUUUCUUUCUUCUCCUUUGUUUUGCUCUGUCCGUCGCCCGUGCCCACCUCCAUCUCCGGCUCCACGCCGCCAACCAGCAGAUCUCCACUUCACAGCGUCACUUGCGCGCCGCCGCUGCUCUGAACAUCUCCCUCGCACGACUUUUCCCUCUUUCAGCAGCGAUCCACUUCGCAGCGCCGCUGCUGCGCGCCAGCGCUGCUCUGUGCGAGCUCUCCCUGAGCCAAACACCCAAGCGCGCGGCCUACGCUACGCCGCUACGCGCCACCGCACCCCUCCCAACUCUACCGCGCGGACUCGCCGCCGCUCUGCUCCCACCGCACGCCAGAUUGCUCCUAUUCCGGCUCCAGCUCGGUCUCCACAGGUGCGUAACACGCCUCGCCUGUGUACGCCGCCGCUGCUCACUGCUCGCGUCUCACUUGCGCGCUGCCGACUCUCCCUCCGCUACUGCCGGCCGAUUGCUCUCUCUCUGCGCGCGACCCUAUCAGACCGCCUCGCCUCUGCAAGCCGCCAGCUCUCUCACCCCACUCGCCCCUUUUACGGUGGAGGUAUUUGAGACUUGCUCACCAAUUUCUUCGUACUAAUUAAGCUGUCUGGAUUGGUAGACAAUUGUUAUUGUUGGCCGUGGGAGCUAUCCUUUGGACUAUUUAUUGUGUUUUUCUUUGGAUUUGAGUUCUUUUGUUUUGGCUUUGAUGGAUGAUUGCCCGUUCCUUUGCUCUUGGGUUGUCUGAUUAGCAUUUUUCAUUGCUAUUGAUGGUGCGUUGGCACACUGUUGAGCGUCAUCUACUUGUGGAAUCGAACCAUUGCUGUGUUUAGAGUUUUCAUUAGUGUGGGUCGGUCAUUGGGAUUGUUUCAUCUACUCUAUUGUUGACAGCCGGGGGCUUAUUGCUUGAAUUGUUGGGACUAAGGUGGCGCGAUUUCUGGGUUGUUUGUUGAAUUGGAAAGGCAUUGUGACCCAUGCAUUGUUUCUUGAAGUUGGUUAACUAAUUUUGGAUUACUGGGUGUAUUUGGUCUCUUGAUCUCACUUGCAUUCUGUUUUCAUUUCAAUUGAGUCGUUUACUGCCUUUGUUGGACCAUCUUAUUGAAUAACCUCUGCCAAUUGCUAGUUGUGGUUAUCAGUUAGGCUUCCUGUAGUUCCUGAGUAUCAUUGUUGCUUUGUUGGGAAACUGGUAUAAAUUGUGGGUGACUCUAUUGUCCAUUUGCUGGCUGAUUAACUCGGUAUUUGCUGGUUACACUGGGCGUUGGACAUUCUGCAUCUUGUUGUUCCUGCUGACUGUUGGGGAAUAUGGUGAGACCAAAAUCAUCCUCUAGGUCUAGAGCCCCUCGUUCUCAACCCCCUCCUCAAGCCUCCAUUCCUGUGAAUACAUCUACCAACCUACCUUCCUCUUCUGGUGCUCGAACCCGUUUGGGUAGGGGUAGGGGUGCUCAAGUGGAUACCCCAGCUCACUUCGGAGGGCACCUAACAUUCACUAGACCCGCCGAUCAGCAGAGAUAUGCUAAGGUCUGUGAGCGGCGUAUUAUACCUUGUAAAACUUGGGAAAAAUUAACCGUGAUGGGCCUAGGCAUACGAGAGGAGGUCGAGCAGAUGUUUACAGCUAUCGGGUGGCGCCCAUAUCUAGAUAUCUUAUGCCCCGCCUUUGUCAAGCUGACUCGGGAGUUUUAUUCUACCUUUGAGUUUGAGUUGCCCACGAGGUUCACCGUUGAAACGCCCAAUGUCAUCCGUUUCCGUCUGAUGGGUCGGGAAUUUAAUUUUUCAAUUACCCAAUUUAAUUUGGCAUUUGGAUUCAUUACUCGAGAGUAUGCUGAGACUAGGGAGUAUGGUGAGAGUGCCUGCGAUUACAUCGAGCCUUUUCUCUCCCGCUACCGCGCUGUGUGGGAAGACAUGUCUACCGAUCGGCACCGAUACGACCCUUCUCGGUCUAGGGGCUCCUUUCUUAAGGACCCUAGCGCCCGAUACGUCCAUCGAUUCUUAGCCUACAGUUACUCCGGUCGGAAGGACAGCUCUGGCAUUCUCUCUCGACCUGAGUUUUUCUUCAUCUGGAGUAUGAAGAAUAACAUCAAGGUCAACUUGGGGUGUUGGUUGGCGGCGCAGUUCAAGACCGUCUUAACCAAAAAGAACAAGCCCCUGAUCCUUGGGUCCUAUAUCACCCACUUGGCAACACAGUUGGGGGUUCUUAACCUGGAGGACCACGACUUACAUUUGGCGUGCGAGAUGGGGCUCUUGGACGUAGAUUGCUUGGAGAAGAUGGGAGUCGUCGAGCGCCUGCCUGAUGGUUCCUACCAGUUCACUCCUCCGGGACCACCUAGAGCUCCGGGUGCGCACCAUUCGUCCCAAGCAGGGCCCUCCUCAUUUUCGGGGUCAGCCGAGGACACGGCUGGGCCAUCUUCUUCUGCGCCACCUCCACCACAUGGGACGACUGAGUGGCAGCAACUCCGGGAGCAGGUUCAGACUUUGGAGGCUCGGAUGGUCAACGUGGACGCCAAUGUCGCCGGCAUAGCACAGAAUUUGGCGCAGUUUCUGCUUCAUACAGGCUAUGCACCUCCGUUUCCACCUCGCCCCCCACUAUGACCCGGUUUCAGGGAAGUUUCGUUGUCUUCUCCCUCACUUUUGCUGUUUAUUUGACACAUUGAGAACACUGUGUCCUAUAGGUGUGGGGGGGUCUAGAGUCUUUUUAGUUUUUAAUAGUUUUUAGUUUCUGUGUUUUUAGCUUUUAAUAGUUUUUAGUUUUUAGUAGUUUUUAGUUUUAAUAGUUUCUAGUUCUACUUCUAGUUGCUUAUUUUCUUCCUUUCUGCUUGGGUGCUCAUCUCUCAUGCGGAUGAAAAAAAAAUGAUGUUGGUUUAUUGACUCUGAUUCUACUUUUACCAAGUUUUUCUUUUUAAAUAAACAUGUAUCGGGCUAAUGUGGUGGGGUCCAAGAUAUCUCCUUGGUGAAUAUCGGAUUGCUUGGUUUUUUUUAUUUCUUUGUUAACUUUUUUAGGCAUUGGGAAUGACUGUUGGCAUUUUAAUGUGAACUGGUCCAAUAUUGAUUCCAGUUCUCCAUGUUUGGCAAUAAUGAGGCGAGCUGCUCCUAUGCUUAGUUGCUAGUGUUGGUAUUUCGCGUUUUUGCAUUGUUUGGCUGUGAAUAAGUUUGACUGUACUCCGCUAUUAAGUUACUACUGAGUAACCGGGAAUCUGCACCUAAAAGUGUCGAUUCUCGCGUCAAAAGGUGGUGCUUUCUAUGAGUACGUGGUCGUAUAGCGGUAGGAGCUGAGUAACCGGGUUCAUUCAUCUAAAAAUAUUGGAGUUCGCGUCAAAAGGCCCCGACGGCUAAAGACUAAGUCUUUUUGUGUUAAUUAUUAUUGCUAUUAAAAAAAACAAAACACAGAAAACGGAAAAAAAAGGGGAAGAAAAAAAAAGGGAGAAUAAAUAAUAGGAGAGCUUGCCGGUUUAUGGACUUAAUAUGCAGACUCGUGUGAAUAUUUGGAUCAUUAGCUGAUAAAUGUGGUGUGCCAUUCCUUUUUCUUAGAUUAGCUAAUUUAGAAAUUGAAGAAAUUUGUGGUUUAGAGGCUAACCGGGGGGAUGCUUCUCGGAUUUUAAUCACUAGUGCUCGAUAUAUGAUUCUUCCUGAUAUCUUGGCAAUUUGGUGGAUAGAGCAAUGGCCAUUAUCAAAUUUUGGGGUCUGUGCACUAUUCUUAUGCUUGAGGACAAGCACGGUUUAGGUGUGGGGGGAAUUGAUAGGUUGCAAUUUAUCUAUUUAUUUUAUUAUUAAUUUCCCCUGUUACCUGACCCGAUGUAGAUUAAUUAUUAGAUUCUACUCAUUUUUCGUAAUUUGCAUUUAUUUCAGGGAGUAGAACGAAAAUAUAACAACGGGUGCCAAUUUGACAGAAAAGGAAUCCAGAUGAUAGAGCUUGUCCCAGGGGCAUUUUUGGAAAAGAAGAUGUCACGCCCACUUUGGUAAUUUUCGUAAAGAAAUGAUGGACGAAGGGCUUCUUCCUCCUGGUGAGCCGCCGCAAUAAAGGAGGAAAAACAGGAUCAGAUGGAGGCGAGCUUAGUUUUAGUUUUCCGUCUGUAGCUUAGCUUGAGAUUGUUGACUUUUCCCUAAAAAUGCUUUUUGCUUGUCAUACGCAUGGCAGGCAUUAGAAAUUGGUAGCUUUUGACUUUUUUUCAUGUUAAAUGCUUAGAGUUUUUCUAUCUUUCCUGGUAUGCCGUCCGUAGUGAGGCAGAGGAUCAUUUCGUGUAACUUUGCUAUCUCCUCCUGGUUGGAGCGGAUUGAGUUCUAAAAAAUCAAUGACAAUGGUCGCAGCUUUAUCUUCAAUUUCCCGUGGACUUAGUUCAUCAAAUAUGAACUAAUUUCCUUCCUACUAGUCAAAGAGCAACGAAGGCUUUGGUUCGCCUAAAAAUUGUGAGAUCGAUUUAAUUCAAUCUUUUCCUUUUAUUUAUUGAUAUCCGCAUACUUCCUGAUUUCUAUGCUCAUGGUUAUUUAAUUAAUUGAUUAUCUUGGAUCCGGAUAACUAAUUGAGUUGGUACCCUAUCGUCAAUUAGGGCAUUAAAUCCGUAAUUGUUUAAUUGUCCUGAAAUAGUGAUAACUGGCACGAUUAGAUUCGUGUCAGGGGGAUACGCGGGCUAAUCUGAAAUAACCCUGGUAGUGCGUUAUUUGGUUAGAAUAGGGCUCCUCUAAUACGUAAGGCAAUUGGGGAAUUAAAUCUUACGGGCGUACCUAGGAUUAUUUCCUAAUUAGAGCAGUGAUUAACGGGCGUAUCUUAAUCACCGACACAGUAAGGAGGAAUUGGCUGUCAUCCCCUGGUUGGCAGUUAUAACCUAUUUAUUGAUAAAUAAUCGGAAUUGCCUUUAUUUUAAUGAUCAAUUAGGUGAACCAUUGCUGAAGUUAUUUCUUGGCUAGAUCUUUAGUUAAUAUUAUCUUGAUUUUAGUGAAGUGCCAUUUGACUUUUAGUUACCUACUUUAUUUUAUUUUUAAUUGUUUCCUUGUUUUAAUUGAUUUAGGCCUUUAAUUAUUGUUAUUCUAAAUUCAGUGAAUUGUGGUUUAAUUUCUAGUUAGUUAUUUAUUUUUAUUUUCUUAUUUGAAUUUAUUUGAUUGCUGUCGUUCCUACAAAAUCACCCCAUGUGUUACUUUGGAUUUCUUAAGAAACAAAUAUAUCCAGUCCCUGAGGAUACGAGCCUACUUGCCCUGUCUACAAAUUCAUAAUUAUUUGUAAAAGAAAUAACCAUCCCAUUCGGGUAUAUCGGAUUAAGCAAACUCUUCGGGAACAGGGAGAAUCAAGUAACCCAUUGCACACCUAGAGUCCCUGCUCCAGUACUUGGAAUUGGGUCUUGGUCAUUUUAACUGGCAAUUAGGUUUAAUUUUAUUAUUGUGCAGGUUUCGACACCCUGUCAACAGGUUGCCGAGUCUGUGCAAUAAUAAUUUUAAUUAUCCUAAGUGCCAACUACGCACUUUCGUGUCAAUUCUAGUAUUGGAGCAAGGACUCUAGAUGUGCAAUAUGUUACUUGAUUCACCCUGGUUCCGAAGAGUUUGCUUAAUCCGAUAUAACAGAAUUUAGUCACGAGAAAUUUAUAAUAUAUAUAUAUAUAUAUAUAUAUAUAUAUAUGGCAAACAGGAUCGUAUUCUCAGGGACUGGAGAUAUUUGUCUCUUUGAAAUUCCAAUCGGCAAUAGGGGGUUUUAUCGAAAUAAAGAUAAAAACAAUUAAGCAAUUCAACCAAAGACAAACAAUUAACUAAUACGAAUGUAGAUAGGAAUUAAAUUAAUAAUAGACAAAUUCUAGCCAAAGAUACAACUUCUCAGACACAGUCCGUUCAUCCGAUCAUUGAUGCAAGGGCGGGUUCACUUAAUUUAUUAAUAAGUUAGUUAUAAUCGCCAACAAACUCUGACGACCAGCUUUUCUUUAGUUUAUUGAUAACCAAGGUACGACCAUUAGUUACCCCUAACCAGGAAACACUCCUAUGUACGACCGUAGGAGUGAAUUCCCUAAUUGCACUAAGAAUUAGAAGAGCCUAACCCUAAUCAAUAACACGCUACGAGGGUUAUUUAGAUCAGAUCGCACGUUCCUCUAGUGUGUAUAAACGCUAGUUGCCACUGAUAUUAAUCGAUUAAAUAAUUAUGGAUUUAAUUGAUUAAUUUGGUAGGAAAUUAACAAGUCACCUUAAAUAUCGGGUCCUAGACAUCCAAUUAACAAAAUAAUUUCAUAGAAAUUCAAGUAAAAAACGUGCAAAUAUCAACGUAUUAAGGAAUGCGUAAAAACUAAUACGAUCUCAUAGAUAUUCGGGACCGCAUCAUCGCAUUGAUUUUUGACCAGAUGAAAAGCUUAACUACACCUCAUGAGAAAAUUUCCACUCAAUUCAAUCGAUUUCAAAGGCAUCUGCCUUUUUCUCUAAUAAUCAAGAAUAAAAAUUGUUUUGCAGUCGACCCCCAAUAGAAAGAACGGAAAAAGAAGCAAAAACGAAAGCUGUCUUCCUAACAAAGGAAUUCCCCCUUUUUCAAGGGAGCCUGUUUGACUCGUUGUUCCCCCUUUUCCGAAUCCCCGGGGACUAAUUACAAAGAAUCCUGUUUUUUUUUUCUUGUUUCCUCCUGGUAACGCACCGCUUGGCCACCAGAAUAGGAAACUGUCUUCCAAUUGGAGUCGGGCUUGCAACUCUUUGUAGAUUUGCACUUCUCGUCCUUCACUUUUCAGAAUCUUGUACUCCAUCCCUGCAAUUGUGUCCAAAUGCCAAUUAUAAGUAGAAUCCGAUAAUUAACAAAAUAUUUGGCACAAAUAAUGAGGGAAAUUAACCAGAAAAUGACUAAUAAUUAUGACCCUAUCAAUUUUUUUAUACUCAUUAGGUUGCUGAGAAGAAGGACCUGCACCUCACAUUUGCCUUUCGUUUUGAAAGAUUCAAGGAAAGAAAAUUUUAUUGUUUUUGGACCAUUUAUCCUCGUAUUUCUGGGGAGCACCCUGCAUCUGCACCUAGGCUCUGUUUUUUUUUUUUGUGAUUUGAGACACUUUGAUGAUUUUACCGUCUAAAGCGUGUAGAAUAAAAAUUAAUUCCACUUCUUACCAUGAUGCAACCAUUGAGUAGGAAAAAUAAAUAAGGACUUUAAGUUAAACAGAAAUUUCCGACAUCACAAAACUGAUUCUGUUAAGAUAUGCUUAUAUUUUAAUUUUCUUAAAUAAAGUUUUUCUUUAUAACUCCACACACUUUUAAUGUAAAGUUAUGAUUAAUGCGCGAUAAUAUGCACCAUUAUAUUGGCUUCUCAGUUAUGCUGGGGAUUUAUUUCCAAACAAAAUAUUAUCAUAGUUUCAGAAAAUGUACAAAAAUUAUGUAAGGGCCAAUUAUGUCUAUAUAUAAAGCCAUCAAAUUCGAACUACCCUGAUGCAAGAACAUAUGAAAAAGAAAACUUGAUAAACUCACACUUCAGAAAACCAAGAGUUCGAAUUAUUUAGCAAAUUGUAGGAUAAAUUAGAUAUAACUCCCCUGAUGCUAGAACAUAUGAAAAAAAAGAGUAGAUAAACUGCACUUUUGGAAACCAAGAGUUUGAGUUAUUUAGCAAAUUGUAGGGUAAAUUGCAUAUAACUCCCCUAUAGUUUUGCACAAUGUCAGAUAAUUCAUCUAAGGUAUCAAAAUAGCCACGUGCUCUAUUUUAUGUAAAGUGGAAAAUAGACAAAAUACAUUAAUUAGUUACGGCGAUUAAAUCACAUGUGCUCUAAAAGUGCGUAUGAUAAAAUUACACUAUUCACUUAACUCUCUUAUGAUUUGCAUAAAUAUCUACUUUACCCCCUCAUGAUUUUUGCAUUUAUCCUCGUAAUCCCCCUACGAUUUUAUAUAAGGUGACUAAUUUGUUGUUUGAUUUAACAUUUAAAUAAGGACACUGCUGGUACUAUGCCCUCGGGGUAAUUUUGGUAUUCAAGUUAUUAUAGAGCAUAGGCUUUGGAUCUUUAUGUCAUCCUUAACCAAAAAAAGGGGCAAGUGUGGAGUAUCUAAAGCUUUUCUGAAGUGCAAAUAUCAUUUGCUUUUUCCAAAUUGACCUCAACUUAGUAAUUAAGUGACAAUGAAGUUUUUACAUUUCAAUACGGUUUCUUAAGCAAUGUACUGAGUAACAUAAUUACUUGGGUAUCUGAUGACAAGUAAGCAACGCAUAUUACCUCCACGUAGAUGUUAUUUUUUUCUACUGCAAGAUUUAGAGCACAUAAAUUCUUCUAUUAAACCGAAAGACUACUUGAUUGUGUCUGGAAAAAAAUCUUUCGUAGUUAAAUUAGAUAGGAGCUUACAACAUCACAAUAAUAAUUUAUUUAGCACGAGUAAUGAGUUGCUUGCUUAGUAUAAGGGAAAAAUACAAGUGAUAAGUUUCUCAAUAGAAAUAAUCUGAAAAAAAAAAAAUUCCCUCGAAAAAGUUGAAGGUAGAACGGCAUUAUCAGAAAGGGCAUUUGGAGGCAUAUCAAAGUGGUGGGCUCACUGCUUCUAAACCUUUACAAUUGGGCCCUAUUUAUGUAGAAUUGUUACAAUUGCUUGAUUCGGGUCCCUGUUUUCCUCAAGAAGAACUAUGUUCUUUCCUCACCUUUAUUUUCUCAUUUGACCAAGAUGGCGUUUGGUUAGAGAGUUUCAGGAUGGAGAAUUAGAAUAAAUCCCAUAAUUAUUAUUUGGAUUACUACUAUCGAAAUCGAGAUUUUGGAAUCAUACCUAAAAAUUUAGAAUUCCUUAAUUCCCUAGUAAUUUGGAGGGUUUUGGAUAAAACCCAACUCUGAUUCCCAUUUGGAAAUGGGAACCAUCCCGCCACCCAUUAAAAAAAUUAAUAUAUAAUAAUAUACAUAUAUAUAAUUAUGUAUAUAAUAUAUAUUAUAAUUAUAAUAUUUAAUUAUAAUUAUAUACUUUAUUAUAAUAUUAGUAUAAUUAUAUAAUAUAUUUAUAAUUAUUAUAUAGGCAUAUAUAAUAUAUUAUAUAAAUAUAUUAUAAUUAUUUAAUUAAAUGUAAUUAUAUUUAUAUACAAUAUAUUAUAAAUUUAUUAAUAUUAUAUAAUAAUAUAUUUAUAUUAUUUAUAUAUUUAUAAAUGUAUAUUUUAUAUGCAUAUAAUUAUAGUAUAUACAUGUAUAUAAUAAUAAUAUAUUAUAUAAUUAUAUUUAUUUUUGUUAUUAUAAAUAUAAUAAAAACUAUAUUUAACAUAUAAUAUACUAUAUAAUAUAUAAUAUUAGUAUAAUUAAUAUUUAUAUAUAAUUAUAUAUUUAUAUUUAUAUUAUGAUGUAUACAUAUAUACAAUAUACAUUAUAAUUAGAAUAUUUUAUUAUAAUAUUAGUAUAUUAUAGAAAUAUAUAUUAUAAUUAUUUAGUUAAAUAUAAUUAUAUUUAUAUAAUAUAUAUUAUAAAUUUAUUAAUAUUAUAUAAUAAUAUAUUUAUAAUAUAUACGUAUAUUUAUAAAUGUAUAUUAUAUGUGCAUAUAAUUAUAAUAUAUACAUGUAUAUAAUAUUAGUAAAUUAUAUAAUUAUAAUUAUAAUUAUUAUUUUAAAUAUAAUAUAUAUAAUUAUUAUUAUAUUUAAUAUAUAAUAUACAUUAUAUUUAUAUAAAAAUUAGUAUAAUUAAAAUUUAUAUAUAUUAUAUACUUAUAAUUAUAUUUAUAUUAUAAAUUUUGUAUAAUUAUAUUUAUUUAUAUAUAUAGCAUUUAAUUUAAUUAGUUACAAACGUAUAAUAAUGAUAUUAUUAGUUAUAUGUAUUAUAUAAUGUAUAUUAACCUAUGUAAUAUAAUUGAUAUUAUCAAUUAUACUAAUAUUUAUACAUAUUUACUAAUAGAAAUUAUUAAUUAUUUAUACUAUAUUUACUAAUACAUUUAUACUAAUAUAUUUAAUUAGUGAAAAUUUCUUAUAUUCCAUUUACAAAAAGUCAACGAACCAAACAUCAACCAUGGGUCGGGCUGUGCACCGGGCCAGUGAAAUGGAAAUCGGUGCAGGCGGUGUCUUGGAACCGCCCUCCGUUGCACCAUGUCAAGUUGAAUACCGAUGCUAGUGUUGCUCACAAACGUGCGUAUGGGGGUGGUUUGCUUCGCGACUCGGACGGCCACUUAAUUUUUGCCUAUUAUAAGGAGUUCGGGGAGUUGGACGUCCUGCUGGCAGAAAGUGCAUCAUUGCUGCAUGGAUUUCAGCUUUGUAGGGACCUAGCCACGGGGCCCCUGCUGGUGGAGGUGGACUCUAAGAGCUUGGUUGAUCUUCUCAAUACGGGAGCGACGUCCCGUUGGCCUUUGUGUAACACGUUGCGUCGCAUCCGAGCGCUGCUUUCCUCACUUUCGGCAACAGUAUCUCACAUCUUUAGGGAGGCAAAUGCAUCGGCGGAUGCGCUCGCUGGGUUGCGGAUGUCGUCGGAAUUAUUUUGCACUUUGCUUCCUCAGCUUCCGCAUUUUGUGCGGGCUACAGUAUGCCUAGACAGCCGCGAGUUCUCUUCCCUGCGUUGGCAACCCGGAUAGGUCUUGUAUCUGUGAUAGGCUUAACUUAUGUACUCCAAUGUUUCAUCCUACCGUGUACUCCUCUGCUUCCAAUCAAUAUAAGUAACUUCGUUUAAAAAAAAAAAAACUAUACAUUUAAAAACUAUAGUAACGAUCUACAUUCCUGGCAUUGAACCAAACAAAUAUAUUGAAAUCAUUGAUUUCAUUUCAAAUCUAGGAUGAAUGAUUCCGAAUCCGAAUCUGAUUCCAAUAUGCGAACCAAAUGCCACAUAAAAGUUAAAUCUCCCGAGGAUAUGGGCCGAGCAAUGACUGCCCAAGAUAGGGAUAAAUAAGCUCUAAUGACCAGGUCGUGAACAUUCUUUUGGUUGCAUAUCUAACAAAUCACCGCUGAAAACCCUAUCAAAAUUAUCUUACAUGGUGUUUUUAAGCUUCAAAUGAAAAUUGAUAAGUUUAUAACUAAAAUUUGUAAGAUCUAUUUUGAUGAAAUUAGCAUAGGAGCAUAAGCGUUGCACAUGGUGGGCAUUUGUUUUAGGAAUACGUACUAAGAUAAUUUUUUAAAAUUAAUUAAAAAGAAUAGAAAUUUAACUAUUUAAAUUUCAUAUUGCUAUCAAUUUUCUCCUCCAACAAAACAUAUAAAUUAUUUGUUUAACAAAACCUUGUCAAUAGUACGCCUGAGUAGCAAAGUAUAGAAAAAGGGGUAGCUAUAUUGCCAAAACAAUUAUGUUCUUGCCAGAGCAAUUUCACUCUAAAUAAUAGUAAUACCCUCACAAACCAAGAGUACCCAUAUUUUGUAUUGUAUAGAUCCACGGAAUAAAACAAGCGCCAAAAUUGAAAACCAAUUUAAAGUGGGAUUUGGCUCAUCUCUAGUUGAUUCUCUCUCCAUUUUUCGAAGUACUCAUCUAGAUGUAUGACACGUAUCUUCAUUUAUUAACAAGAGUUAGGAUUAAUUAAAUUUAAAUUGACCAUGUCCCUUCUUAGUAAUUCAAGACAUGUGUCAUACAUUUAAACUAGUGUGAAUACCCGUGCUACGCACGAUGCUUACGUUAUUGAAAUAAAUUAAAAGAUUAUAGUAUUUUAAUUUGAAAAAAGUUAAAAAAAUUAUGCCAACAUAAUUAAAAUUUAAUAUUUGUCUAACAAUAGUUCAAAGUAUGACAAAAUCAGUAGAUCAUUCAAGAAUUGCGUUUUUGCGAAAGAUGGAUUUUAAAAUAAUAAUAAAAAUUUAUAUUACAAAAUGAAUGAUAUAUGGAUAGAAAUAAAUGUAAUUGCAUGUUUUAUUUGAUUUCAAAAUGAAAUACUUACAAACAUUGUGCAUUCGAUUUAAUAAUCUUGUUCAAAGGUGCAAACAUUUUUUACAUCAAUCAACUUUUUGUAUGAAAAUUAAUAUUGGUGGUUUAAUUAAUUCUAUUAAAUUUUGUAGAGUUCGUACUACAAAAAAAUGUUGAGUAAGACUUGUAUUUCUUGGAAGUGAACUUGCUGAACCUUUUUAAAAUAUUUCAUUGGGAUCACUAUGGUAUGAAAUUCGUUUUGUAAUCAAUUAUUUUUUUCUUUGUAAUCUUGCAGGUUUGGAAUUAAGACGCCAUUGAAAUUAAAUGAUGGAACCAAUGGGGGCUAAUGGAGGCCAUAGCCCUCCUCCCCAAGUUUUAAAAAUUUUAAUUCAUAUUAUAUAAAUAUUUGUGUAAAAUAAAGUUGGCCCUCCUAAUUUUUUUACAAUUUUAGUUUGUAUUAUGAGAAUAUAUAUAUAUAUAUAUAUAUAUAUAUAUAUAUAAGUAUAUAUGUGUGCGUGUGUGUGUGAAUUAACUACAUUUGAAUUAAUAUUUGUACUUAAAAAAGUUAUUUAUUUUUUAUAUCCCUUUAUAAUUAAAGUUAAUAAUUGAUAUUUUUAGAUGUCAUAUAUUUAAAUAGAUGAAAAUUAUUUCAAAAUAAAAUACUUAAAAACAUUAAGCAUUCGGUUUGAUAAUUUUGUACAAAGAUACGAGCAUUUUUUACAUCAAUCAACUUUUAGUAUGAAAAUUAAUAUUGGUGAUUUAAUUAACUCUAUUGAAUUUUGUGGAGUUAAUACUAUAAAAAAAUGUUCAGUAAGACCUGUAUUUUUAGAAGUAAACUUGCUAAACCUUUUUAAAAUAUUUCAAUAGCAUCAGUAUAGUAUAAAAUUCGUUUUGUGAUCAAUUUUUUUCUCCUUUGUAAUCUUGUAGUUUUGGAAUUACGAUGCCAUUGAAAUCAAUGAUGGAACCAAUGGGGGCUAAUGGGGGCCAUAGUUCCCCCUCCCCCAAGUUUUAAAAAUUUUAAUUCAUAUUGUGUAAAACAAAGUUAGUUUUCCAAAUUUUUUACGAUUUUAGUUUAUAUUAUGAGAAUAUAUAUAUAUAUAUAUGUACAUAUGUGUGCAUGUGUGUGUGAAUUAACUACUUUUGAAUUAAUUUUUUCUUAAAAAAUUAUUUAUUUUUUACAUCCCUUUAUAAUUAAAAUUAAUAUUUGAUUUUUUAAAUGUCAUAUAUUUACAUAAAUAAAAAUUAUUUUGAACAUAACACAUAAAAUUAAUUUCGUGAUACUACAAAAAAGUGUUCAGUGAGACCUGUGUUUCUUAGAAGUGAACUUGCUGAGCCUUCUUAAAAUAUUUAAGUGAGAUCACCAUAGUGUAAAAUUCGUUUUGUGAUCAGUUGUUUUCUCCUUUGUACUAUUGCAGGUUUGGAAUUAAGACGUCAUUGAAAUCAAUCAUGGAACCAAUAUGGGCUAAUGGGGCCCAUAGCUCCCCUCUCCCCCAAGUUUUAAAAAUUUUAAUUCAUAUUGUGUAAAUAUUUGUGUAAAACAAAAUUAGUCCUCCUAAUUUUUUAUAAUUUUAGUUUAUAUUACGAGAAUAUAUAUGUAUAUAUGUGUGCGUGUGUGUGAAUUAACUAUCUUUGAAUUAAUUUUUUUAUUAAAAAAGUUAUUUAUUUUUAACAUACCUUUAUAAUUAAAAUUAAAAUUUGAUAUUUUUAGAUGUCAUAAAUUUAAAUAGAUGAAAAUUAUUUUAAACAUAACACAUUAAAAUAAUUAUGUUAGGAAAAAUUUUAGCCCCUCUAGAAAAAAAAUCUUAGUUUCGUCACUGAUUGAAAUAUUUGUAAGUGAGAUUUAUCCAUGGUGAAUGUAUGAUACAUAAUUUUUUUAACUGUAUUUAAUUUAUAUGAUGACAAAUGAAAUGGGUAAAUUAGAUUAGUGAUCAUAAGUUUUAUAAAUGAUUAUGAGAAUAAAAUAUAUUAUGACAAUAAGAUACGUUGAAUUGUGAAAAUUGUAAUUUAAACAGGCUCCUAAAUUUUGGAUAUGUGACUUUUGUGAGAACCCGUAAUUUUCCAUUUUCUAGGUUUAUUAUAUUUUCAAAGGCUUGUUUUUUGCAUUUUCGUGAUUAGAAAAAUUUCUAGAUAUUUUUAAGGAGUAGAUAGAGUUUUUAGGUGAUUUUUCUAGUAUCGAAUAGUUUUUGAGAAAUUAAGAGCUUAUACCAGACGUGGGACCCACUAGUGCGAAAAGUUCGGAAAAAUUCGGCCAACUAGGUUAAGUUUUGGAUACUGGGUUUAAAUUAUCGGGUGUUAAGAGAUAAGUAGAGGUUGCUAUUUGGAUUGGUUUGAGAGGAAACAAAAAGGAUAGAGAUGCAUUAAUUAGGUGACAAGUGUCACUUGGCUAUUGGAUUGAACUUUUGACUACUAUUCCAUGUCUUACCAUUUGACUUAAUAAACUAAAACUUUACCAAAAAUUACUCCAUUUGCAAGCUCAAAGGGCCGGCUCUCUCAAGCAAGGAAAGAAAGAAAACCUCUUCAAUUUCUUGAUUCCCUCUUGCUCAAAUCCAAUCACUCAACCAUCUACUCUUAUUUUUGUUCCAUAGAAACCCUUAAGGGAGUGGUUGUGAGUUGUUUUGUGGAGUUAUUUGGAAAGCUAAAGUGGUUAAUUGCUCUCUCUCUUGUUUUACCAAGGUGAGUGGUCAAGGACUCCUUUCCUCCCUCUAAUAAUGUUUAAUUCAUGCUUGGUGAUAGUAUGAGAUGCAAGUUUAUGGAUUAAUCUUGAUUUUUGGUUGAAUUGGUGAAGUUUUAUAAUUAUUGGUGACUUUUCUGAUUUAAUAUGAAUAUGAUUAUGUGGGCAUGUAUGAUGAUUGGAAUUGGUAUGUAAUGAAGCUAGGAGGUGGAAAAAGUGGUUAAUUGUAAGAAAUUUCUGUUUUGGAAGAAAAUUGAAAAACUAGGGUUUCAAAGUUAUACAUUCUGCCCGGUUUUGUAACUCAUGGUUAGAGGCCGAAUUGGUUUUGGGUUAAAACAUGAAAGUUGUAGGGAAUGCUAUUUUAGGGGUGCCUACAAAAUUUCAGGUCAAUCGGAGUAGCGUAGCUUGAGAAAAGUCGAAAUUACCCUUGCUGUCCUGGUUUUACCCGAAUUUGAGAAUUGCGUCUGUAAUUGGUUAUUUUGGUUAGGAAUGCUUCAGAAUUGGUUGUUGAGGUCUUCUGAUAAAAUGUAUCCCUAUUUCUAAGCUUUCGGAUGGCUUUGGAAUUACUGGAUUUGGACUUAGGUAGCUUGUUUUAUGAUGUUUACACCAGAAUGCGUUUUGUGAAUCUGUUUUUCCGGUUCUGGUGUAGUAUCUUGCAUUUUUGACCUUGUUACACUCGAAACUGGACAGAGUUGCCUUCUGGAACAUUGUAGCCCUAUCUCUUAGCUUCGAAACGGUAGGUCUUGCACCUUCAUCUGAUAAUCGUAGUGCCUUUGGUGCCAUUACCGCAAGAUGAUGUCAAAAACUGUUUUUUUGGUUUAAAGUUUAACUUUCAUUUCCGGACUUUUCCCUAGCUUGAAUUGUACCUGUACUACUUGGAGCUUACUGAAUGACUAUUGAAUGAACUUAUUUUGUGUGUGCCUUUGGGAGUGAUUGAGGAAAACAAAAGAAGCCUUGAUGGCUGGAAAAGUAAAGAGAGACAAGGGGAAGUGCUGUCCAAAUGUUUGCAAGAGCUUCUGCGCAGUCUCGGGAGAUUUGCUAUAUCUUGAUGUAGAAAUGUUGGAAUUAAGUUCCGUUUGUUGCGUUUUAAACUAGAUUCAUAGGGCUAUAAACCAUGAAAAUCUCAGAUCCUGUUUCUAUUUUUCCAAUUUAUGGUGAUUUUUCAAAGUUGACUAAAAUCUUGUACCUGUUCUGUCCUCCACUGGAUAAAGCAAUAACUUGCGGCUUGAAUUCGACUGACUUACAUUCUAAGUCUUACAAUAGUGUUUUCUGGAAAGUUAUAGCCUUUUGAAUUUAUUUUCCAACGGUAUAACUUUUAUUAAUUUUGGACUUACAAAACUUGAGAUAUGAUUUUUCAUAUAAGGUCGCGCGGAACUGGAAAAAUUCUGUUUUCCUAGUAUUGAUCUUGCUUUCAUUAUCUACUUCAAAUUUGGAUUUGGUCAGUCAUUGUAGGAAGGGCUUUGAGGUUGUUCAUACUUUUAAGACUAAUUGUUACCUUUUCACUCCGAGGUCGCCUCUUUACUUUGCAUUAAUGGUUCGUUUGACUAGGCAUAUGGCUCGUAACCGAGUCUCACUUGCGAAUUCCAUACUCAGUCUUGGAGUCGAGUCUUAAGUGUUUGCCUUGAUUGUUCUAGGAGGUAACGACGAGUGAAGCCACACUUGGGAAGGAAACUUUUGAAAUUAUCCUUGUUUAAUCAGGUGAGUGUACCACUCCCCUGAGUUAUUGUUAAACUGGUUUUCUGUACUUGCAACUUGCUACUUGAAUAUCUUUCCUGACCGUUUAUCUUGUAUGAGACGAGGGUGUACUUUAUCACACUCGUUUGCUUGCCUGUACUGAACAAACUGGAAUCUGUUACUUGUACUUGUUAUGUACUUGAAUUUGUUACUUGCACUUGUUAUUCGAUCGUUUGAAAGUGUGUCCACGAUCGUCCUGUUAAACUUGAUCGUCCUGUUAAACCUGAGCUCAACCUCAUGGGGAGUUAAUUAAAUCGAGCCAUGCAAGGGUCUGGUCGAGAAAAUUGACAAUCCGUGGGUGCCUGUUUUUAUGGAAUCUUUGAGUAUUGAGACUCUUGAUUACGGUAUACUCGAGUAUUACCAUUCCUGUUUUAUUUGGCGUUCGGGCCCGGUAAGGGGUAUGAAUGGUGAACGGGAUUCGGCGUUAAAGCGGUGUUCUACUGGAUUGGUUUUCUUUAGUUGGAAGUUGAUGGAGGGUCAACGUAGUCGGAUCAAGUACUGCAACGGGAAAUUGGCUCCUGAGAGCCAUCUGUAUCCUUUCUGUCUAAGUUGUUUAUAUAUCUCCUUAUUUGGUACACCUAUGUGAUUAAUUGAGCAUGAAAUUCCUUGGUUCUUGACUGUUAUUAUUUUUGGUACCUCAUUGAGCUUAUAGCUCACCCCGUUUUGUUAUCCUUGUUUUCCUUACAGAAAAAUCUUUUGGGAACAAUGAUGUUUGGAAGCAUGAGUUGAGCUAGAUAUAUAUUCUUUUGUAUAGCUCCUCAAGAGAUAUAAACCUUGAAUGUAUUUCGAUCCAACAACUCCCUUUUUUAUUUGUAAAUUUGCAAUCAUGUAUUUAUAUAUAUAUAUAUAUAUAUAUAUAUAUAUAUAUAUAUAUAUAUAUAUAAGUGUUUAAUCAUGUACAUGGGUUACCCCGAUCAAACGUGUUCAUUCUUUACACCUACAUGGAGUUUAAUGAAAUUACUGAGAUUUUGGACGAGUAUAGUAUUCAAGUGCGAAAAGAAAAAAAAAAUCUAGCAGGGAUUUCGACAAUAUUAUGGGUUGGUAAGUUACAUUUAACUUGGAGGUUUCCCAAUCGUUCGUUUUCUUUGGUUUCUUUCACGCGUGCUACAGAAGUGGGAGUGAUUCGACCCCGUAGUCCCGGCGAGAGUUGGGCAGGCGGUCCGCCGAACCCUUUGGUUCGGCUUAGGGGGAGGUGGGGCUAUCACAACUUUCAUAGUUGCGAAUUUCUUCAAUUAACAGUUAGUUAUUACUAUCAAUGAUGUGGUAAGUGUCAGUAAUAAAUGUGAGACGUGAAUUGAAAUUUACAGAUAUCAUUUUACAGGGGUGGUUAUUAUCUGUUAAUUAAAGUUUAGGAGUUUUAAUUUUAUGGAUUAGUGGGGAAAACUUGGGGAAAAUGUGGGGGAAAUGUGAGGAAAACGUGAGUAUGAUUAUAGGAUUUGUGGGAGUGAUUAUAGAAUUUGUUAAGAGAUAAACAUUUCUUAAUUAUAAAAAUAUAAAAUUCUAUUAAAAUAGCAUUCAGACUUUUGACAAUUUUGAAAGCUCCUUAUCCAAAACCCCCUCUGCAAUACAUAUAGAUAUAGAUGUGUAUUAUACGAAAUGAAAAAAGAACUCACUAGAGAGGAACCAAAUCCAUCUAAAAUUAUGUCAGCAAAUUCUAUCAUAUUUUGUAUUGUAGAUUCACAAUUAGAUGAUUAAUCAUUUUUAUAGUUGAGAAGGGCCAAUCUGACAUCGUCUUACAAAUUUGUUCAUUUUUCGUUAGGUAAGACUUGCAGCUUGCGCGCGUCCUAGUUUUUGCAAGGAGAACCACGUUGUUGUUAUUUGUUACCCUUACUUUCUCAUUUGGUUAAAGUUAACUAAGCCUUUGAUAGCAUGUGUGAUGAAAGUGGGGCAUGACUUGAAAAGAUUAUUAACUAACGGUUAAUAUCCUUAACCUAUAAAAGACUAAUUGAGACAUGCUUUUCUGUAAAAAAUCAUAAUCGCAACUUUUGGAAGUUCUGUAAAGAGGAUAACAUACUCAUUUAUAGUCUUAAUAUACUAGCACAAAGUGUUAUCAAGUAGUAGUAAAGAGAAUUUGUCCAUUGAUUCGCAAUAAAUAGACGGCGAAUUUACCCUAAAGAGAAGCGAAAAUAGAUUACGAGUUCAAGUCCAUUCUCAUCAAUUUAUCACAAUUAUUCAGAACAAAUCAUAGUUGAAACAAGUGAUGAAAUUUGGACCUUACAAGAUCAAUACAAUGUGGGUUGAGGUGAGAGGGAGUCCAAAAUGUCCCACAAACAUUAAAUGAGUCACUUUGCAGCUUGAGAGGAGCUUAUGGGCCUACGUAUCGUCCCUUAAAGCCCUGUUUUUCAGGACGCUGUUGAACCCCUUUUUCUGUUUGUUUUGAUAGUUUUAAUAUUUAAUCAUUUAUGUGUUUCUUUUGUUUUAGGCCUGAUGUUGGCAAAAUGUGAUUCCUGUUUUAUUCAAUUAAAUUUCAUUCAUGGUUUUAGAAAAAGAGAGAUUACUUUUUUCGUUCUUCCAUCACGAAGAAUUCAGUUAGUUGUUCUUUUUUUUAACCAUGGAAAUCUCCAAAUCUCUUUUUUUUUUCUUUUGAUUAUACGUUAAUUAACCCAAAAUUCAUUGUACUAGUUGUCUAGGUUCACUUGAGACAGAGUACAAAUAAAGGCAUUGACCUAUUGUACAAUUGUAAAAUGGGAUAAUUUCAGAAACCUCCCCUGAGGUUUCUGACAGUCUCACUCUUCUCCCCUGAACUUUGCAAAAUAUCAGAUAUCUCCCUUGUCAGAUUAUUGGGCCUUAUUUGUGAUAUCAUUGGUGAUGAAUUGACAGAUAUACCCUCAUAACUUAUGAUAUAUUUUGAAGCUAUUUUGACAGAAUUAUUUAAAUGAGUAAUAGAGAUAUAACUUAUGAUAUACCUUCUAUUCCACUUUACAUUUUUUAUUCGUAGUACAAUCACCAAUGAAGAGUUUAGCACUAGUGUUAACUUUUUCUAAAGUCAUGUAUUUCAUUUUUUUUUGUAAGACAAUUAUCUAGUGUACCUCAUUACUUAUAUUUGGGUAAAUUUGGUUUUCAAAAAAUCAAUGACGUAAAUUGUACAUUACAUCAUCUCAUAAAGUAAUGCGACACAAUUUGGAUUAUUGAAUUUUUUGAAAAUCGAAUCUACCUAAGUUCUGGUAUUCAAACGAAGCUUGUUGAAUAAAUUCGACUAACUACAGUGUGAAUUAAUUUUUUUUUAAAUCUCAACUAAAGUAUCUAGCACUAAAUGAAAUGAAGUAUCUUGCUAGUUCAUUUCAUUUUCCACAGAGAAAAUCGCAAAAAGAAUUAUUAAACUAUUGAGAAUUUGGUUAUUUGAUCGUUACACUAUUUAUUUAACUGCAAUUGCCAUUCACUCAAUUAACCAAAUAGUGAAAAAAUUUUUGUGACUUAACUAGUAAAGAUUUAUACUUUUAGUCACUCAAAUAAUAUUUUUUAUGACUUAACUAAUAAAAAUUUGUACUUUUAAUCACUCAAAUUAUAAAACUAUACAUUUUUUUAUAUCACCAGAAGUAUGUUUCAAUUAAUUGAAUGAUCAUAUUAGCUAAAUAAAUGUCUAAUAGCUAAAACAAAAAAAUAUAAAUAGCAUUGUAACAUUGCUUGAAGAAGCCAUCUGCAUUUGUCUCUAUUUGGUUCAACUUAUUACUUCUUUUUUUUUUUUUUUGCUUUUGCUUUAGCUCAAGUUGUGGAUAAGCAAAAAGGGCAUAUGCGGAACACAAAUAUCAUCUCACUCCUCAAAAUAUUUUUUUAAUGCUCAUUUUUCUGACAUGGGCUCAUCUUGUUACUCCAACUAUAAGUUCAGGGGAGGUAUCUGAUAUUUUGCAAAGUUUAGGGGAGGUGAGUGAGACUGUCAGAAACCUCAAGGGAGGCUUCUGAAAUUAUCCCUUGUAAAAUUUAUACACAUUUUCUCUCCAAUUUGGGUAAUUUAUCCCUAGCUCUAUAUAUCAUCUAAAACAUAUGGUGUGGAAUUCAAAAAUGGAAAAUUAAAUAUUCGUACAAACAUAUCACCUUUAAAGCUCUUUGGGGAAUCAAUAAUUUUACUAAUGCCCUUUCCAGCAGUUGUCUCAAGCAGCCGAAAACCAAAUUGCAGACAUCCUUCUUAAACGAACUUAAGUCCCAUACUUUCAUUCUUUGCAAAAAUUCUCCAAUUUGAAGAAGUAAAAUAUGAUUCUGAAAAUUUAGCAAAUCUCAAAAUUGGAUAUCCUAAAUCCAAACCUAAGAAAAUGGAGUACUAAUUCUAUCCUGAUUAAGCCACGUAAUGCCUUUUGCAAUCCCCAUUACAAUUUUUACCGUAAACCUGUUUUGGGCAGAAAAGAAAGUGUUGUUAUUACUUUACCCCCUUAAACUAUAUUACUACUAUCAGUUUACCCCCUAAUGUUAUUUUUUAGUUACUUCACCCGCAUAAGUAAUUCAACUUAACAUGUUAAGAAAAUUUGGAUAAAAAUACCCUUUUAUUCUGUAGCAUUACUACAUUGUUAUUGUUACUUUAUUCCUUUAAAUUAUAGUAAUAUAAUUGCUUUAAUUCUUAACAUUAUUUCUAGGUAUUUUACUUCAUCGUUAAUCUAACUAGUAUGGUAAAAAUUAGAUUUUGCAAAGAAAAAAUAAAGAAAAGUCUAAUAUUAUUGUAUUAAUUUAAGAUUAUUGGGAUUAGAAUUGAAAUCUGGUGGUAAACAGUAAAGUGAAAUAAUUUUAAAAUAAUAAAAGUAUUUAAUUCUUUCUUAUUUGUAAUUUUUUUUAAAAAAAAAGAAUUGAGCUCUCUUUCAAUCUCUCUCUCCCUCUCUCCCUCCCCCUCACCAUCUUUUUUUUAAUAUUAAUAAGAUUGUCAAGAAGAAAGAAAUUAAUACUUUGACUUUUUUCUUGAUACUAAAAAGGAGAAGAGUCACUCUAAAUUUUUUAUUAUUUUUAUUAUACAAAGAGAAGAGUACUUUCUUCUAAAGUUUUUUAACUUGCUAAGUUGGUUUAAUGGUGGGAUAAAUUAUCUAAAAAAUAAUUUUAUGGGUAAAUUGAUAAUUAGACCAUAGUUUAUGGGGGUAAAGUGAUAAUAACUUUAAGAGUAAACUUGUCUUUUCACUUUAAUUAACAAACUCCGUUAAGUUGGACGGUUAGUUUUGGGGGUAAAGUGACUAAAAGAUAACGUUAAGGGGGAAAUUGAUAAUGACAUCUAACGUUAAGGGAGUAAAGUAAUAAUAACCCGAAAAGAAAUGAUCAUAGCGGUUUCCAAAUUGGGCUAUCAUAUUCUUCCAAGAAUCAUGAGUUCAAACAUAAAUUGUUAAUCAAUGCUAUCAAAAUGAUGGAGUUUGAACCUCAAAUAGAAAAAAAAAAAAGAAAGAUAACAAAGUUCCUUGAUGGCAAAUUGACACAUGUUUGAAAAGAAAUAGCACACAACCAUCAUUAAAUUCAGAAAAAUGAAAUUACACAAAAUAGGCCAACAGCAAAAUAUCAGAAUAAUCUCAUUGAUUGUUUCCACCAUAUUUUGACAAGAAAAGAGCCAUCGAUCCUUUCAACUUUUACCUCAAUUUUCCACAAAAGCACCAAAGAAAGCCAGACCACGCAGAUGACCAAUUACAAUCUCAAGAGGAAAAACCAACCGAAGCACUCCCUGAUGAUAUCAUCAAGAAAAAAACAGAGCAAUAACUAGUUGUUUGCUCAUCAAUUUCAAUGUGCUCGUGCAUGCAUUACAGGCAAUUGAAGUCCAAAAAAGCUACCAAAAGAAGCUACAAGCCAAUUAACAGUAAUGACAAAAAAAAAAAUUACCAGAUAUUGAACCAGCUGAUGCCCUUCAAUCUAUGAUGAUGAUCUUCAGAUUCUCAUUUCCAUAAUUUUUUUGUGCUUCUUCAAUUUCCCGUGCCAAAGAUUUGACACCAUCUACACAACGUAGCACUCUAAUUGUUUCAAGAGUUGAUAUACGGCCUAAACAAGCAGGCACCAUUUCCAAAUUAGAAAUUCCGUAGAGAUUUAAUUGCUGAAGGCACGGGAAGUAAUCAUCACUGUCAGGGUCUGUCUGUGCCCACUCCAUAACCUUUACAUCUUCUAAUGUCAAGACCUUGAGUUUAGGGAAUCCUCCUUCCAUCAGCUCCCAUUUUUGGCCCUCCAUUGACCACUGUCUUAAUUUGAGGACUUCAAGAUUGGGUAGUUGUUCAAUCAAUGACAUUUUUCUACAGGGAAGACCCAGAUUGAAAAGACACAACUUCUUCAAAUUCAUGGGAAAAGAAAGCUCCACAUAUUCCAGCGAAUCAAAGGAGCCGUGGCCAUCUAAGGUGAGUGAUUCUAGGCAUACUAGUCGACUCAUGUUGCAGCAUACUCUAUUUUGUUGCCGCACAUAUAAAAUUUUAAGUCGGCGAACGUUGAGAAUCCUUCUCAAUAUGUUCUCAAUGUCACGAUAAAGAAACAGAGUAGAGAGUGUGUCUAAAUUGGGUAAAGUAGAGAGGUUUUCAACAACAUUGUCGUUGGAAGACAGACGAAUAUCAAAAACGGGUCUUACAUGUACAUGCAUCAACUUCUUCAUGUUCCAGAUGCUAUCUGGCAAUGAAACAACCGCUGUAGAAUCCAGACAGAAGGUUUCCAAAUGUGAGAGCUUGGCUAUAGAUGGUGGAAUGAAUUUCAUGCGCUCUGCUUCAAGGGCUAAGUACCUUAAACAAAGAAGUGAUUCGACUUCAGUUGGAAGCUCUUUCAGCCUUAGGUUAAUGCCCUCUAACUUCAGAACUUUAAGAUGUUUGUAGAUGUAAAAAAGGAAGGAGAUGUUAUGGAACUGAAACUCAUUAUAUCCUGGAGUACCAUCAACGAAUAGAGUACCUAAAUAUGGGCAAAAUAGCUUUGACUUCCUAAAAUCUUCUCCACUGGAGCAAAUGGACAACCGAGGUAGGUUGGGAGGCUCAUUAAAGGUAGAAAGCUCAUCAUAUCCUCGCAAAACCUGAAGAAAAUUCUUUUCUUUCGCCUCGCCCUUACAGAACUCAAAUAUCAAAUCGUGAAUGUAACAAGUUUUGACUCCACCAAUGGAUCUGCUUUUACUUACCAUAACUAAGUUUCGACCAAUAAGGUCCAUCAGAUAUUCUUCUGCAAUGCCCUCUGAUCUCUUUCCUUCAAUUUUUUCCACAAACCCUUCUGCAAUCCAGAGACGCAUCAAAUUCUCCGCACUAAUUUUUUCAUCUUCUCGAAAUGCAGCAAAAUACAGCAGGCAUGCCUUCAAGUGAUAUGGUAAAUGCUCAUAACUGAGCUCCAACGACUUCUUGCACUGGUCUGUACCAGACACCAUGGUUAAAGUUAAACUUUUAGCAAAUUUUUCCCAAACCCAAAUAUCAUGCUCUAUAGUUGCUAGGACCCCAGCUACAACAACGAGUGCAAGUGGCAAUCCCCUGCACUUUUCGGCAAUCUCCAUUCCCAACCCAUGCAAUGCUUGAGGACAAUCUUCUUUUCCAAAAACCUUCUUCUGCAGUAAUUCAAAACUUUCUUUCUCACCGAGCGGGCGAAGAUAGUGAGGUUUCCCCCCAUAUUCAACCUGUGAAGCCACAUUAGAAAAUCGGCUCGUGAAGAUGAUUUUACUUCCUUUCUUGUCAUCCGGGAAUGAAAUUCUCAGCUCAUUCCAUACCUUAAUGUCCCAGACAUCAUCAAAAACAACAAGAUACCGAUUCUCCUUUAGCUUUUUGUAGAGCUUUUCAAGCAGCGCAUGUUCAUCCAGAUUUUGAAACUCAUCAUCCAUCCUGGAAUGUUUGCCUUCAGAGCACAAAAUUUGAAGUAACACAUUUUUCAUGUUAUAGGCUUGAGAAACAGUACACCAAAGACGAAUGUGGAAGUUACAGAUUACUGAACUAUCAUUGUAAACUUUUUGGGCUAAAGUUGUCUUACCAAGCCCAGCCAUUCCCACAAUGGGAACAAUUUCCACAUGUUCUGGUCCCCAUAUAAGUCGUUCAAUUACUUCUCCUGCCUCAUCAUCAAGACCAACCAUGACUUCAUGGGCUAUUGGCAUUUUACCUUUUGAUAGCAUGUGGCUGGAAGUCUUGCUAACUUCUGGCGCUCUUAAGCUAUGAAAGGAAGGAAGACUUUCAAUAAUGCUUGAGCCACUGAUCUGAUCCUUAAAAUGCUUGAUAUGGAUGUUGGUAUUAGCCAGCAUAUCAUAACAGUCAAGGGCCUCUGUGGAUUCUGAGAAUCUAACUUCUCCUUCCUUCACUCCGUUUAGAGAGGGCGAGCAAAUUAUAAUGCCUGCCUCACUAAGAAGAGCACCAAUUUUUUCGUUUUGCUCAUCCAUCUUCUCCUGCAGCUCCCUUAAAAUGCUUCUCAAAAACCUCAGUCCUGCAUAGAGUAUUCGCAUUUCAUCUUUCAUAGAAUCCACAAAGCUAGAGCUGCAGCAUAACAGCUCCCAGAGACAACUUAUCAGAGAAUCAUUGAAGUUGUUCAAUAUCUGCUUAUCCAUCAUUCUAUCAUGCAAUGAUUUUGAGGACCUUGUAGCUCUAAGAACUUCCAUGUGAAUCCCAAAGACUUGAAAAUCAACAGCUGUGAUUUUCUGUUGUUGCUCAUAUAUCAUGGAGCAGAACUCAGGAUUGUGCCGUUCCUCAUCAUCCCAAAAAGAACACAUGUAAGAGAGGCGUGCUGCGUUCAAAGCCAUCACUUCAAAGUGAGCCAAUAGCAAAGCAGGAAUAUCUGCAGUUCCUCGCAAUUUGGCAAAGGGUAUGAAGCUUUUCAAGAAUGUUAGCUUUUCUUCAAGGGCUUGGAAUUGAGCAAUAACUUGGGGAUCCAUAUCAAAAAUACACAAAUCGCUAGUUGUUAAAUCCGCUAGAUUUUGUAGAAUAAGGUCGAUAAAUUCUAUUAGUUCAUCAGCUGGCAUGCAAGAAUUUGAUUCCAAUGAUCUGCUGCUCGCCAAAGUGAAGUAAACUUGGAUGAUUUCUUGCUUAAAUGAUUUGAUUUGUUUCAACAAUUUGGGGAACACUUCAUUGCCAACAUAACGUACGUCACGUGCAUCAGAUUUCAACACAAGGAAAAGAGAGUGAACGGUAUCUUCAAUGCAAGAUAAGAAAGAUGGAAGACUCACCUUCUUCACUACAUUAUCAGAUUCCAAGUACAAAUCAUUGCAGUGGCUCCACUUUCUUGCACAGAUAACAAAUGUUUUGAGAAAUUUCAUGCGUUUGAUUGCAUCACGAACACGAUCAAGUAAGACCCGAUCAUGGUAAGGAUCAUCCCGGCUUCGGAAGCUGUUCAGGAGCAACUCUAGAUCAAGUAAGACCCGAUCGAUGCUGCAAGUGGAGACCAUCUCCAUCUCUUAUGCAGGGAUUUUGGUCUCAAAUUUUAAGAGAGAAGCAAAUCUCACUAAUUGCAGAGCCAGCAAGUAUUUCUUUCCUGAGAAUUACUUCUUUGCUUUUCUUCUUCUGAAGAGUAUUGAGACAAUCAAUUAUUGGCAACAAGGUGGAAUCGGCAUCGAGGUGGACCCGAGACACUGAUACUACUACAACUAGGGAGUUGGGCAUCUGAGGAUUUAAAAGAUACUACAAUUUUGUCAUUUUAGCAAAAGUUAGUGUGAAAAUAAAUCGUGGGUCAUUAGCAAUAUUAUUUGCUCAUGUCUAAUUACAAAAGGAAGUUGAUAAAAUUAGUUGACUCUGUUGUCAACAUUUUAAUGGGGAAAUUUGGUAUGGCAAUCUCUCAUGAUUACAGAGAAAUGCAUUAUUGGAACAUUUUCUAAUGUUGUCUAAAUCCGCUAGAUUUUGUAGAAUGCGGUCUAUAAAUUCCAUUAGUUCAUCAACUGGCAUGCAAGAAAUUGAUUCCAAUGAUCUGCUACUUGCCAAAGUAAAGUAAACUUGCACACAUAACAAAUGUUCUGAGAAAUGUUAUAACGAGAGAGAGCGGUCAAAAAAAGAUGUGUAACUAAACCCACACUAGUUGCUCAUCCCUUCCAUCACACCCCUAUAUAUAUAUAUAUAUAUAUAUAUAUAGUGUCAAAAUGACAUACGUUGUCCUGCGUGGUGAAAUCUUCAAGCUAACUCUCUAAUUUUCUUUCUCGAGCAAACCUCUAAAUUUGAUCACUUUCUCUUCUAAUGUUCUCGUGUUAAUAAUCAUGACCAUUGAUCUGGGAGAUUAAUAACCAUGACCAACAAAGUAAAGAGUCCGAGAAAAAAAAAUUGAGGCUUCUUCAACCCUCGAGAUUGUGGAAAUAGAAAAUUUGGAAUUUCAACAAUUACCAGUAUCAUAAUAAAUACGCAUUAUCAUAAUAAAUAUAAACGCUAAGAUAAUAAAUAUAAACAGUAAAACGAUAAUGUACAAAAUUAAUGUUACCGGAGUGCAUUAGUGUUACCAAUAUACAAUCGUCAAAGAAAAUGACUAAGGAAGUAGAUGAGGAAUUAUGAGAGUUAGCACGGCGGCUAAUCAAUGCGGAUUUCAGUAUAGAAUCAGGAAACUUAAAAACGAAAUGUAAUUGUUUAAGGAUGCAGAAAUGUAUAGUCCUGCAUGGGCUAGUUUUGUGCUUAAACAGAUGUCUAGCUGUUCAGGAAAGGUGAUUGGUUCGUGUUUAUAUGCUAGAAUAUAAGUGCUGGAAAGAUAUUUGUCAUGUUUUAUAUAUACGCUUCAGCAGAAAGUUUUUUGGAGCUUAGUAUAGCAAUAUUUUUUUUUAAAGCUUAGUACAGCUUAGAGUCAGCCGAAAGCAAUUAAAUUUUAUACCACACGAACAUUGGCAAAGAUGCUUUAACCUAACCCUCCUGAAUAAUUAAUGAGCAAGUUCAAUGAUUAUGUCCCACAAGAUUGGCAGAUCUUUAAACUAAAAUUUAAUUGACACAGGGGGAUGGGCAGGGACAGCCGCCCUGCAAAAGUUUUCAGAAUUUUAAAAUCCUUCCUAUAAUUCUAGUUGUCAACUAAAAUUAUAUUAUUUUGGCUCUCCUAAAUAUAAUUAUAAGUAAAUUUUAUUUGUUAUUUUGUUUAAUUUCUUUUGAUAAAGGGUCCUAUACCAAACUAACAAUUAACUUCCUUAAAAAUGUAUAUGAUUGGUAUGUACUUACCGUACGAUUAGUAUUACUUUGAAUAAUAAUUCCUGUUUGGAUUGCUAUUUCUAAGAGUUUUUGUAGAAAAAAAAUAUAUUAUAACAAUUUGAUGUAUGUGAGGUAAAAAAGUGAUUGAAAAAUAUAUUCAUGAAAAACGUAAAAAUUUUUCUGUGAAAAAUCACAAUCCAAACUUUUUUAACCAAAUUUCUUAUAACGAACGUACUAUUAGUUUGUUUGAUUACUAUAACUUUAAAAUAGCAACAAAGAUAACAAUGUACACGUUACAUAGGAAAUCAAAGGAAAAAAAAUUCAACUAUCCUAUAAAUUGAAGAAGUUCAACUAUGAUUAUGAAUGCGUCACAUUCAUAGUAAAUAUAACAGUGUAGAGUCUAAUUUUUAUAUUUUCCUUUAUAUUUUGUCUUUAUGUUUUAUAAAUUUCUUACUCCUAAUUAUAAUUUAUUGAACUCUCAUUUUACAUUUAGUAUUUUUUAUUUGCUACUGCAACGGGCUCUUGGAGGCAUAUGUAAGUGGUGGGCUCACUGCUUGUGAACAAUUUUUAUUUUUUUUUUCCAAAGUGAAAAAGAGAGCUACAUAAAUUAAAUUACAAAUGAGUCAGACUCAAUCAUUUUAGGAAAUUUAAUGCUUCUUACAUCUUCCACACAAAUAUUCCCAAAUAGAUUAGGUGGUUCUACAUGCAAAGCAAACUCUUCCAAUUGGUUAUAUCCUAGAUUUGCCUUGAAGACCGUAGUCCUCUUUGCCUAUAUGUAGAUAUGCUUAAAUGUGACCAACUGAAUUUGGCAGAGUAAAACUCUCCGCCAAUCACAACGCUAGGCCCCAAAUGAAGAUAUUCAGCGGCAACAGUAACAGAGAAAUUGAUUAGAUUUUUGCGUCUAGAAUCCUUUGCAUGAUAAAGUCAAGGAGUACGAAUGAUAAAAUAGGGAAAUCCCAAGUGCUAGAGCUAGUGUUAGAAAACACCUCCUUCACUAAAAUGUUAUCUUCUCCUAGAGACAGGGGUCCAUGAAUGAUGUUAUGAAAAAAGGAUGACCUAAAAAACAAUUUUUUAUAGUACUACCACAUCAUAAUACUAUACCUCAUAAAAAUAUAAAUUUAAAAAAUAAAAAAAAUUGAAAAGAAAUACACUUGCAUCAAUUUAACUCUAUUUGUUCAAAACUGGUUUCUUAUGAAUUUAUAUUGUUUCCAACAUACCUUUGCUCAAACCAUUAAAUUGUACCAAUCAAUAUAAAAAUCAUCUCAAAAUAAGCAAAUAAAUCAUACCCCACUUUAUCAUAGUCACAAAAGUAAAAGAUAAACAUAAUUCAAUUUAUUAUAAUUUACAAAUAAAAUAUUGCAUAGUCAUCCAAAAAAUGAGUAAGAGAGAAUGAUGGAAAAAGGGAAAAAGAAGAAAGUGACUUUUGUUUCUUUUUUUAAAAAUUUUUGAGUUCCAUUUAUUUGAUAUGUUGUAAAUUAUAUGUCAAGUGAGGGUUAUUAUAAUCUUUUCACAAUUACUAGGAGAGAUAAGUGACAUUUCUAAAACCUCAAGCGUGCCAGGUAAUAUUAAGAGAAAUCUUAGAGGAGGUUUCUGAUAUUAUCCCAUUAUUUCGCUAAUUUCCUUUCCAGCAAUUAACUCAAGAAACAGAACACCAAAGUUGUAGACACCCUUCUUAAUCGCGCGGUCUCAUUUGUCCAAGAGUCAUGAGCUCAAACAUAAAUUGUUAAUCAAUCGUGUCAAAAUGAUGGAGUUUCAAAAAAGCUAAGAGCUUCUUGCCUUGGUGUUGGUGUAUUUUAAUAAAAUCUUAAUUUUUGGAUAAAUCUUUUCAAGGAGUUACAAUAGUAUUCAUUGGUGAGUUAUGUAAAUUGUUAUUGUGGGAGUUACAUUGCAUUUUGAAUGGAGUUAUAAUUGUGAGUUACUUUUUUGAAUAAGAGUUACAAAAGAAUUAUUUGGUAUUGUGGGAGUUACAAAAGAAUUUUGAAUAAGACAUUAUGUAUUAUUGUGGGGGUUACAAAAAGAUUAUUUGAAUAACUGUUACACAUUAGUUUUUCUUUUACUUAAGAUUUUGUAGCCUAUAAAUAGUGGAGUUCUCAAAAGGUUUUGAAACACUUCUUCUCACAACAAAAAAUCACUCUAAAAUACUAUCCUCCUCACAUUUAUUUCUUUCUCCUUCAUUCUGUUUUCUUUGGGCAAAGAAGGAUAUUGGGAAGCUUCUGCUUCUCUUGGUUGUGCAGAUCAAAGAGAAGUAACAACUAUAGAGUUGGGCUGUUGUAUCCUGGAGGCGGCGCGCUAGACCUUCUGCAUCGGUUUGAAAAGCACCGUAGGGGCGCGUAUCGUCUUAAAGAGAGCGUUCUACGCGCCUCAGCCCUACCGAACUUCUUAGUAGCUGUCAAUUCCAAGGUGGUUAUUUUUUGAAGAUCAGAGAUUGUUCGUGUACUCUCUUCCAACACUUGGUACAAAUUCCCUAUUUUCCAAGUACCAAUGCUACAAAUUGACACAUUUUUGAAAAGAAAAAGCACACAACAAUCACUAAAUUCAGCAACACAAAAAUUACGCAAGAUUCACACACAAAUUUGAAAACAAGUCAUAAUUUUUAAGCCUUUAUGCUGCCGUGCAGAUUGAUAAAAUGGUGCACGGUGUAUGAACCUCAUUGAUCGUUUCCGCUGUAUCUUGACAAGAAGAAUCGAUCCUUUUAACUUUUAUCUCAAUCUUCCACAAAAGUACCAAAGAAAGUCAGAACACACAAAUGACCAAUUACAAAAUCUCAAGAGGAAAAGCUACCGUAGCACUCCCUAAUGAUAUCAUCAAGAAAAAAUAGAGCAAUAAUUAGUUGUUUGUUCAUCGAUUCCAGAUAAUGAUAAUACUACAACUAGGUGUUGGGCAUCUGAGGAUUUAAAAGAUACUACAAUUUUGUCAUUUUAGCAAAAGUUAGUGUGGAAAUAAAUCGCGGGUCAUGGCAAUAUUAUUUGACCAUGUCUCUCACACAUAUUAUGAGAAUGCAUUAAGAAAUUUGCUUCACCCAAAAUCCAAAUUUAUCUUGCAAGAGGAAGUUGAUCAAAUUAAUUGACUCUGUUAUCAAAAUUUUAAUGGACAAUCUCUCAUGAUUACAGAGAAAUCUGUAUUAGUUCCCCUAGUCAUUACAAGUAACAGAGCAAGAAACAGAACAUCAGUAAAGUAAAAGACAAAAUGUUGGAAUUAUCAUAAAGUAAUCUUAUGUUUAGAAGAGUAAAGAAGUUUUCAUUAAUAAUUUUAGUUACAAUAACAUCAAAAAUUAUUAUUUUUGGACUAUUUCAUAUGUGGAUUGGAGUUGAGAAGGACUACUCCGGCACUGUCCAUUAUAGGUGGCAAACAAACCUAUUUAACUAAAUUUAUCCAUACUUAUCCAUGAAUAAAUGAAUAUGGAUAUCUUAAGUUUUUGCAUAUGCGUAUAAAAUGGAUUACCCAAUAAUACCCAACCCAUCAAAUUCAAUUAAUCCAUUUAGAAUUGUCUUCCCUCAAAUAUCCUUUCUUCCCCACCCAUUUUUUUUAGAUUCUUCAUUUUAUCAUAAUGUUAACUACUUUUACCUUAUCCUGUUCUUUUCUCGUAGUUUCUUAACUUACUCAUUUUUUAGUAUUACCAAUUUAUGACAAGUUUUAGCAUCUUUUCCUACCUUUCCAAAAUGAAAUUUUAAAUUUCCACAUGCAAAAAAUGCUAGGGGUUCAAAGUUUUUGGAUUAAGUUUUUAUGUUAACUUUCAUAGUACUUAGUUCAAAAUUUUAUAUUCUUAUCGUUCAAUUAUUAAAUAGUAUGUAAUUUUGCGACAUAGAGUACGAAUGAAAAAAAAUUGGUAAUUAAGCUAAUUAAGCAUUAUAAGUAAAUAUUUAAAACUAAAGAUAGGUGCAAAUGGGGGUAUAAAUUGAUAACUUAGUUUGCAAAAAUAAAUUUAAAUGAGUUUACAAAAAGUUAAAAUAAAUGGGUAAUUGGGUCACCCAACUCAUUUUUCGACUUAUAUAUUUAUACUCAUCUAAUUAAAUAGGUAUAAAUGAAUUGACUCACUUAUAUCCAUUACCUAUUUUAACCAACCAAAACCAGCUCAAGUCACUCAUUUUGACAUCUCUAUUGUCCAUUAAGAAGCGGACCUGACAUGCCUAUACCUAUUACUUGGACUUUAUUUUUCGUUUUAAAAGAUUCAUUCCUUUUCAUUAGAUAAGACUUUCUUGCAUGUUGGCCUGGUUGCCUUAGUUAAAUAGAGAAAAAGGACAGAAGGGGCCAAAAAAAAAAAUAUUAUUAUUAUAUAUUUUUUUUUAACGAAGACAUGUUUUCAAGAAAGUGUUGGAAUCAUCAGAAAGGCAUCUCAAAUAUGUAAAGAAAUUUUUAUAGUUUUUGGACUAUUUUGUACUCAUAUAUUUCUGUGAAAGACCCUGCACCUAGACUUGCUUUUCGUUUUAAAAGAUUUAUUCCUUUUCAUUGGGUGAGACUUUGUUGCAAGUUGGCCUAGUUACCUUAUUUAAAGAGAGAAAUGGAACGGCAGGAGGCCCCAAAAAAAGGACUUUAAGUUAAACAGAAAUUUAUCACAAGCCUAAUUACUUUUUAUUUUCAACUAAUAGGAAAAAGAAAGAAAAAAGAACCGAUAGUUUGUUUUACAUAUCUUUUAGUGCACUUUCAUUUGUAAUAUGAAUUAUUUGGGGUGAUUGGAGACACUUUGACGGAUCUUAGGGCCCGAGAUUAGUAAAAUAAAAAAUAAAGAAUGCAACGUGAUAAAUUGAUAAUCUGUAUAAAGCAUGAAAACAGAAUUUUCUCCUUGAGCAAAGAUGGAGGGAUCGUGAAGAAGAGAAAUACGAUAUUCAAUUAUUCAACAAACAAACGGAGCAAGAAAGAAAAAGAUCAACAAAGUAGUUGAGACGAUGCUACAAUCAUCAGAAAUUCAUGUCGGCUUAGAAAAAGCAAAAACGUUUCUUAUAGACUACUUUUAAUUAUUUUUGGACUGUUUCAUACUCGCCAUGUAGCUGAGAAAUGGCAGUUCGGUAUUGUCCAUUAAGAGAAGAUUUAUUCCUUUUCAAUUUUCAUCUGGCAAGACUCUUUUGCAUAUUGGCCCAUAGUUACCUUAGUUAAAGACAGAAAAAGAAACAGGAGGGGCCAAAAAAAAAAAAAAGUUCUCUUGAAGGAGACAGGUUUUCGAGACGGUGCUGGAAUCAUCAAAAGUCAUCUCUAAGUAAAGAAAUUUUUAUAGGUAAAUUACACUUUACUUCCCUGUGGUAUAGUUAAUUUUUAUAUAAUCUCUCUCUAAUUUUUAAAACUAUAUAUAACCCUCUCAUAAUUUAGAUUAAAAUGUCAAAGUGACGGAAAUGAUUAUCCAUAAUGAAACUUAGAAAAAUGUCAAAAUUACUUUUGUUUAAAAACUAAAAUGGAUUAAGUGACCAAUAUAUGUAAACAUAAUAUGCAUGACACUCUAACUCCAUACGAUUUUAUAUUUUACAAUACAAGCCCCUUUUGGUUUAGUGUUUUACCAUAAAACCUCCUUAUAGUUUUUAAUAUAUAGAUAUACAUAAGUCUCUUGUAGUUAAUAAAUAAUUUUUAACUUUACAUAAGGGUAUUUUUAAUAUUUUCGUUGAUUCCGUUAUGGAUUACAAAAUCCUUCAUUUUGACACUUUAAUCCAAACUAUGAGGGGAUUAUGUAUAGUUUUUGAAACUAUAAGGGGGUUAUAUAAUAAAGUACUAAAUCAUAGGAGGUAAAGGGUAAAUUACCCAAUUUUUAUUGACUCAUAUUGCUGUAAAGGACCCUGCACGUAGACUCGUUUUUCGUUUUGAAAAAUUUAUUCCUUUCCAUUGGGUACGACUUUGUUGCAUGGUGGCCUAGUUACCUUAUUUAAAUUUGACUUUAAAUUAAACGUAAAUUUCCAACAUCACAAACUAACCUUUUCAUUUUCCAAAAAAAAAAAAAAAGAACUGAUGACUUAGUCAUCUACGUUUCCUUUAAUAUACUUAUAUGUUAUUGCUACAAACAUCAAUUACUAUAAACACCCAAUUCUGAUCAGUUAUGUUGGGGAUUUAUGUAUUAAAAAUUGUAAAUAACAUGAGCGAAUGCAUAUCCUUCAGUGCACUUUCAUUUGCAAUAUGAGUUGUUUGGGGUGAUUUGAGACGCUUUGACGGAUUUUUGGGUCCGAAGUUACUAAAAUAAAAAUAAGAUAAUGCAAAGUGAUAAUCUGUGUAAACUUAAAGGAUGAAAGCAGAAUUUAUAAUUAAUAGGAGUCUCUGCAAAGCUUCAGUUUCACAGGAACACCUUUAAUUAAUGUUGUUGCGGAUCAACUCGAGGUCAUGUAAGAAGACACAAUUGACUCAAGUGGAGGACAUCUCCAGCUCUUUUGCAGGGAUCUUCCUCAAUUUCACUCUCUUAAUUUAGUGCAGCUAAAGAAUAGCCAAACCUCGUCUUGUAGGGAGCUAGCAAGUUUUUGGCUCCGGAUUCUUCUUUUCUAUCAUUAUUAUUAUUAUUUGGAAAUUGAGGUAGAGAACUGAUAUAGUAUUCAAUUAUUCAACGCACAAACAGAGCCAGGAGAAAAGCACAAGAAAAUUGAGACUGUGUUUGAAAUUUUUGUUUUUGGCAUUAACAAUUUAAAAUUCAAUGGCUACUCGAUUUAAAAAGUAGAGAAAUACAUUAUGCACGUACUAAUUUAGAGAGUUACAGAUGGGGAACAAGUUGCUGAAAUUUGGGCCUCACCGCCGCACAAUUUUGAACCCCUUUUCCAACUCCCUUUUUUUUUUUUUUUGUUAUGCAUGUUUCCUUAUUUCAGGCCUGAUGUUGGCAAAAUAUCAUUCGAGUUUUAUUCAAUUAAAUUUUGUUCUUGGGUUUAGAAAGAGAAAAAUAAUUUACAAAUCAUAGCACUAAUUUUAUGGGUAAAUUACACUUUACUUCAUUGUAAUUUAAAGCUUUUCUACACAAACCUCUUAUGAUUUUAAAACUUAUAUAUAUAUAUAUAUAUAUAUAUAUAUAUGCACACACAUAUAUAGACACACACACAUAACCCUCUGAUAGAGCAAUUAUUGGGCAUAUUUUGCACUAUUAUUCUGUCCUAAUUUUGGCUACUCAUGAUGCUAAGAAUUGAGAAUUUGCUCAUAUUUCAUAUUUGUGUAAAUUGUAGGUGAUUGGUGUUAAAAGUGAUUUCGUGAGACAAAUUUUCAAAAAACUCUUUAUUUCAUAGUGUGCCCACGCCAGAGACCAAAGGGGUACACCUAAAGGAUGGACCCGCAGAAUUGGUAAAACAAGUGAAACAUCAGGAAACCAAAAAGAGCUCGUGGGCCACGGAGAUGCAUGGGAUUAAAACCCUUCUCAAAGGGGAAGUAGAAUAAAACCACUUGGGAUCCUCGGUGACAUGUUUUCUAUGCCAAUCCAAUGCCACCAAUAGUGUUGUGCCAAGUGUCAUGUUAUUAUUUACACUUUAAUUUUCUAAUAAUUCAACUUGGCUUGGUUUAACACAAGUGUAAAUAAUAACAUGACACUUGGCGCAACACUAUUGAUGGCAUUGAAUUGGCAUAGAAAACAUGUCACCGAGGAUCCCAAGUCAAAUAAAACGGCUCUUCCUCUCUUUUCGGCGAGUUGUACGUGAAUUGGCACAAAAGGCCAGAUUCACGUCUAAUGAGGAGAUUAGCUUUAGUUUCAAUUGGGGAAUCAGACGUUUCUUUUGGGCGGCGGCUUCAAAAGGCUAAAAAGCCAGAAUCACGUGCAAUCAAUUAGCUUAGCUUUAGUUUCCUUUUCUCAUUUUGUCAGACGUUGGAGACCUCUCUUUAGUUUUUGGCUUUGUACGAUUUUGACUCCUUGGUUUUUACUCUGGCUCUGUACAACUUUCGUUAGCUUUGGUUCUUGCGUUUGCGGCUCCAGUACGAAGACGAAACCCAAAAGAGACGCGAGACUUUCACCUGUCUCCUCGUUAUUCCUUCUUUUGCAACUUUUUGGUAAUUUAGUUGAAUGAUAUCAAUUGAAUCACAUGGGAUUGAUAUGAUGAGGAGCGGCUAAAUUUCUCCUCUACCUAAAGGUCAACGCAAGGACGCGGUCCAUAACAUCUGUGAGAUCUAAUCAAACUUUCAUUAUUUCUUCCAAUUUGUUACUAUUCGUGCGUUUCUCGGAUUAAUUGUUUAUGGUUAUUUUAUUAAUUGAAUAUCAACGGCCGGAUAUUUAAUUUAAUCUAAUAGCCUACUGUCACGUUAAUUAAAUUGAAUCCGUAAUUGUUAGUUUAGUUGACACCUAAUGACAACCACCGUAAUUGGAUUUAUGUUGGGGAAACGUAAGAUCUACUUUAAAUAAACCCUCUUAGCGUGUUUAUCGGUUAGGGUUGGGUUCUUCUAGCUUUCAUGCGACUGGAUAAUUAAAUUCCUACGGUCGUACCUAGGGUUGUUUUCUGGUUAGAGAAGCAGUCAAUGGUCGUACCUUGACUGUCGAAAAAGUAAGGAAGAACUGGUUGUCAGAACUUGUUGAUAGCUAUAACCAACCUAGUGACGGAUGAAUGAAAUAUCUUUGCAUCGAUGAUCAUUUAAUUGGAUCAUGCUUGAAAAGUUGAUCCUUUGGGUAGAAUUUUAUUAAUUGUUAUUUUUAGUAAAUUGUACUUGUGAAGUUAUCAUUUGAAUUUUACUUAUUUUAUUUUCAUUUUCAUCCCAUUAAUCAUCCCCCGAUUUUAUUCUAUUGACUUGGAGAGAAACAACUUCCUACCCGUUCCCUGUGGAAUCGAUCCUACUUGCCAUUGUACGGAAAUUUUAUAUUUUUAUAGACAAUUCUGGUAUAUCGGAUCAAGCAAACUCUUCGGGAACAUGGUGAAUCAAGUAACCCAUUGCACACCUAGGGUCCCUGCUCCAGUACUUGGAUUUGUUUUAUAAUUAAUUGUGGUGGUAAUUAGGACUUUUUAGUAAUUAUUAUUACACAGGUUCGACACCUGUCACCCUCUCAUAAUUUAAACUAAAGUGUCAAAAAAAAUGGUCCUAUGUAAUAGGACCAACUGAAAUGUAAUCUUCUAAGGCCAUAGUUAAGUAUGUAAUCAGGCCAAUUACAGAUGGGACAAGUUAUCUUGAACAAGCAUUGUUAAAAAAAAAAGGAUUAAAAAUUUUAGCCUUAGAUUCUAAAGCUGUGCUGUAAAUUAGUACUUUAAACUAUCCAAAUCAUACUAUAUGAUGGGUGUCAAAUCACCAAAAUUAAACUGAAAGACUAUGAAUUUUAAAAAAAAAAAGUGAUUGUUUUGGAUUCUAAACUUCUAACUUAUUGACUUUGAUAUGUAAAUUGUUCAAAACUCUCCACCACAAAGAGUAUCAACUUGGUUAAACAGCCAUCAUAUACCACGGUAAUUGCACGCAUGGAAUAUUACAAUCUUUUAGUAUAGCUUGAAAGACUAAGGAUUUAAAAUUCAAAUCUCUUCUUCAUUUUUUUAAAUUUAUUGUAUUAGUUUUCAAACAGAACAUCUUUCUCUUCACAAAGGAGACUAAUUGUUCUCUUGGUCUCUCUCCUUCCCAUGGCUUUAUUUCUUUUUUUUUUUUAAAUAAUAAGUCUAUUUUUGUUAGAGUUUUAACCUCUCGUAUAACUAUCUAGUGAGAAUUUUCUUCUCUAUUUAGAAUUCUUAGUGAGCGUAUUUUUUAUUUUAGUUUUGUUUUUCCUUUUGCUUUAAAUAGUGGAAUUAGAUGGAUCUAGGUAAUGACUUUAUAAAAUGUAUAUACCAAGCACAACAAAUAUAGACAAGCACCUGUUGUUUGUUUUGAUUGCAUCCUUUUCCUUUUCUUUUCUCGUUGUAGAUUGAUGAAUGCUUGAUCGUGUGCUUAAUUAAUAUACAAUUUAUGUCAAUUUUCCCUUUGAUUUAAUAUAUUAUUGUUUUACUUUGUGGAUUCUACUUAUGUUUUGUGUUUUGAUGGUGUCAUAGAAAUUUGGGAUGAGAAAGGGCUAAAAAGAGUUGCUGUGGAGGUUAUUUACUUUCAAGCAUGAGUGCGUGUUAAAAUACUUGUGAAAUUCAGAAGCUGUGGGACUCGAGAUUAAUUUCAGCAAUUAAAGUAGAUGAUCCACUGAUUCUCUACAACUUUGGAACAAGACCAAGAGUACUAUUUUCUUUGGGAACCACACAUUUGGAAGGAUAAUUAGUUAGGAUUUCUAUUCAAACUUUAUGUAGGAGAAUAAUUUAUUUCUGGAAGGUUUUAUUAGAGAAGAGAUAAUUCUUUUGUUAGGAGCAAUGUUUUUUUAGGAGAAAGAUGAUAUGUUCUCACCUCUUACUCUCAUUUAAAGAAGAGGAUUAGAGUAGUUAGUUUUUCUUUCCUCUUUUCCCAAGAUGAAAAAAGGUCGAUAUUCUUCUCUUUAGGUACGUUUUUCCACGAGGAGUGGUUAAUCCUAAUUUGGUAGUCAAAGGAAAAUUGAAGAAUUGGUUCUACGGCAAUUGUGAGAUCUAAUUUACUUUUAUAUUUCAUUUAUUUAUUUGUAUAUUUCCUAUAUUAUGCCUGGAAUAAUUACCGUGUGUGAUUGAAUAGGUGCACAAUAUUUAAUUAUUCACAAUAGUUUAUUGCCAAUUGAGACAAUUAAAUCUAUAAUUAUUUUACUGUUUUAAUAUUUGUGGCAACUGGCAUGAUUAAUUUUUUGUCAAGGAAGUAUACAAUCUAAUUUAAACGAAUCCUUGUAAUAUAUUUGUUGAUUAGAAUUGGACUUUUCUAAUCUAUAAUACUGUUAAAAGAUUAAAUUCUAUGAUCGUACUUAGAGUUGUCUUCUAAUUAGGAAAAUUGUUAACGGUCGACAAAAUAAAGAAAGGUUUGUCAUAAGAGUUUGUUAACAAUUAUAACCAAUUUAUUCAUGAAUAUUUGAAUUAUCUUUGUAUCAAGAAUUAAUUGCAUGAACCAUUUUUUAUAUUAUUUCUUUUGCUAGAGCUCUAUCAUUGUUAAUUUAAUUCUGGUUAAUUUUCGUAUGUUUAUUUUGUGUUUAAACUAAUAAGUUAGUUUAAUCUCCAAGAUCAGCCCUUUUAUUCAUUGUUUUGAAAGGAAAUAAACCAAUCCAAUCCCUGUAGAGACGAUUCUAAUUACCACUGCAUACAAACUCCUAUUUUUCAGAGUAGAUAUUUUAUUUUUGAUUGGCUCACAACCUGUCAAUGCCUUUCCUUGGUAACCUCAUUAACAUAGUUAUCCAUCAUUCUCAUCAAAAAAAGCUAGUGUAAACAAGGAAACAAGUAUACGAUUAUCAAUUUACUAGGCCAUAGCCAAGGGGUUAAUAUCCACUCCAUUGGAUUCCUCUCCAUUGUUCUCUCCUAUCUAAAAUUUUAUAGCUCUAUAAAUUAGUCUGGUUGUGUUAUUUUGCUUCUCAUCUCUUAGAUCAACAUAUUAAAAAUGGUAUUCUUUUGCAUAUACUUUGGCAUUCAAUUUACAGUAAACAUUUGAAUGGUGAAAAAUGAGUCAAAAUUAUAACAAAAUGUGUAAUGAUUAAUUAGCAAGCAAAACUUAAUUAAAUUUAUACAAAAUUUUGUGUGUAACUAAUACGAGUGAUGAAAUACAUCAUCGAUGCAGUGGAAAGGAACUUAGUCCCAUAGCCAAGUAUGUAAUGAAGCUAACUAUGGAUGUAACAAGUUACCUUGAAAAAAAUUACAUUAUAUGCUUUACCUUCUAAAGUUAGAGUGUGAAGUAGACUCAAGGUGAUCCUUGUAGAAUAAUUGGGAAUACUGAGAUGCUAUGUUUUCUGCUGCAAAUUUAGAGGAAAUAAAAUCUGCUAUUACACCGAAAGAUUAUAUUUUUUUUUUAGAAAAAAUCAUUUUGGAUUCUGAACUUCUAAUUUAUUGACUUGGAUAAGUACAUUAUUCAAAACUCUCCACCACUAAAAGUAUCAACUUAGUUAAACUAUCAUCAUAUAGAACAGUAAUUGCACGGUUGGAAUAUUACCAUCUAUUAGUAUAGUUUGAGAAACAGAGGCUUUUAAAAUUAUUCAAAUCUCUUUUUUUUUUCUUUUGAUUCUAUGUUAAUUUGCCCAAAAUUCAUUGUAUUAGUUGUCUAGGUUCACUUGACAUAGCCUAUAACUAGAGGAAUCGACUUAUCGUACAAUUAUAAAGUUUAUACACGUUUUCUCCAAAAUUUAGAUAUUUUAUCUCCCGCUCUUUAUAUCAUCUGAAACGUAUUGGGUGGAAUUCAAGAAUGGAAGAUUAAAUAUCCAUACAAUCACAUCUCCUUUAAAGCUCUUUGGAGAAUCAAUUAUUUUACUAACGUCCUUUCCAGCAAUUAGCUCAAGCAGCAGGAAAAACCAAGUUGCAGAAGGAACCUAAGUCCCAUACUUCAUUCUUUGCCAAAAUUCUUCAACUUGAAGAAGUAAAAUAUGAUUCUGAAAAUUUAGAAAAUUUCGAAGUUAACAUUGAGCAUACAUCUUCAACCAAUUCUAUGGUGGAGUACUACUCUAUCCUGAUGAAGCCAAUUGCAACUUUUACCUUAAGCCUGUUUGAUUUUGGCAUGAAUUUGUAGAUCAAAAGUAUGUUGUUAAUUCCCAAAUUGGGCUGUCUUAUUCUUCCAAGAAUCAUGAGUUCAAAUAUAAAUUGCUAAUCAAUUCUGUCAAAAUGAUGGAAUUUCAACCUCAAAUAGAAAAAAAAAAAUGAAAAAAGAUAACAGAGUUUCUUGAGAGCAAAAAGCCAAUCGUUUUGCAGUAGUAUCUUCGUACACUGUUCCUAUUUUCCAAGUCCCAACUCAGCAAAUUCACACAUGUUUGAAAAGAAAUAAUACACAACCAUUACUAAAUUCAGCAAAACGAAAUUACACAAAAUACGCCAACAGCAAAUUAUCUGAAUAGCAUUUAUGCUGACAUGCAGAUUGACACCUCAUUCGUUGUUUCCGCAAGAAAAGAGCCACCAAUCCUCUGAACUUUUAGCUCAAUCUUCCACAAAAGCACCGAAGAAAGCCACAGACCCCAUAGAUAACAAAUUACAAUCUCAACAGGAAAAAUUACUGUAGCAGUCCCUCCCUGGUGAUAUCAUCAACAAAAAUUAGAGCAAUAACAAUUAGUUGUUCGUUCAUCAAUAUCAUUAAAAAAAAAAUGAAAAAAAGAGUAACAAUUAGUUGUUUUUUCAUCGAUUUCAGUGUUUUCGUGCAUGCAUUACAGGCAACUAAAGUAAAAAAAAGCUACCAAAAGGCAUAUAUAAAUUAAACUUUUUUAAAAGAAAAAACAUGAUUAUUUCUACAAGCCAAUUGAUGGUGAUGACAAAAAAAAAAAUUUACCAGAUAUUGCACCAGCUGAUGCCCUUCAAUCUAUGAUGAUGAUCUUCAGAUUCUCAUUUCCAUAAUUUUUCUGUGCUUCUUCAAUUUCCCGUACUAAAGAUUCGACACCAUUUCCACAUAAACUCACCUGAAUUGUUUCAAGAGUAGAUAUACGCCCUAAACAAGAAGGCAUCAUUUCCAAUUUAGAAAUUCCGCGGAGUUUUAAUUGCUGAAGACACGGGAAGUAAUCAUCACUGUCAGGGUCUGCCUCCUUCCACUCCACAACCUUUACAAAUUCCAAAGUCAAGACCCUGAGUUUAGGAAAUCCUCCCUCCAUCAGCUCCCAUUUUUGGCCGUCCGUUGCCUGAUCACUUAAUUUAAGGACUUCAAGAUUGGGUAGUUGUUCAAUCAGUGACAUCUUUCUACGGGGAAGACUCACACGGGAAAGACACAACUUUUUCAAAUUCAUGGGAAAGGAAAGCUCAACAUGUUCCCGCGAACCUGGGAAAACGUAGCUCCUUAAGGUGAGUGACUCUAGGCAUUCUAGUCGACUCAUGUUGCAGCAUACUGUAUUUGGUCGCCCCAAAUCGAAAAUUUUAAGUCGGUGAACGUUGGGAAUCCUUCUCAAUAGGUUCUCUCCCUCUUUAUCAAGAUCAAGAUGCAGAGUAGAGAGUGUGUCUAAAUUGGGUAAAGUAGAGAGGUUUUCAACAACGUUGUCGUUGGAAGAUAGACGAAUAACAACGCCACUCCUUGCAUGUACAUGCCUCAACUUCUUCAUGUUCCAGAUGCUAUCUGGCAACGAAACCAUCCGAUGAGAAUACAGACAAAAGGUUUCCAAAUGUGAGAGCUUGGCUAUAGAUGGUGGAAUGAAUUCCAUGCGCUCUGCUCUAAGGGAUAAGUACCUCAAACAAAGAAGUGAUUCGACUUCAGCUGGAAGCUCCUUCAGCAUUAGGUUAAUGCCCUCUAAAUUCAAAACUUUAAGUUGUUUGUAGAUGCAAAAAAGGAAGGAGAUGUUACGCAACUCAAACUUAAUAUAUCCUGGAAUAGCAUCAAAGAAUAGCAGAGUACCUAAACAUGGACAAAAUAGCUUUGACUUUAUAAAAUCUUCUCCACUGGAGCAAAUGGACAACCGAGGUAGAUUGGGAGGCUCAAUAAAGGUAGAAAGCUCAUCAUAUCCUCGCAGGACCUGAAGAAAUUUCUUUUCUUUCGCCUCGCCCUUACAGAACUCAAAUAUCAAAUCGUGAAUGUAACAAGUUUUGACUCCACCAAUGGAUCUGCUUUUACUUACCAUAACUAAGUUUCGACCAAUAAGGUCCAUCAAAUAUUCUUCUGCAACGACCUCUGAUCUCUUUCCUUCAAUUUUUUCCACAAAUCCUUCUGCAAUCCAGAGACGAAUCAAAUUCUUGGCACCAAUUUUUUCAUCUUCUCGAAAUGCAGCAAAAUACAGCAAGCAUGCCUUCAAGUGAUAUGGUAAAUGCUCAUAACUGAGCUCCAAUGACUUCUUGCACUGGUCUGUACUAGACACCAUGGUCAAAGUUAAACUUUCCGCAAAUUCUUCCCAAACCAAAACAUCAUGCUCUAUAGUGGCUAGAACUCCAGCAACAACAACAAGUGCAAGUGGCAAUCCCCUGCACUUCUUGGCAAUCUUCAUAGCGAUUCCACACAAUGCUUGAGGACAAUCUCCUUUUCCAAAUACCUUUUUCAGCAGUAAUUCAAAACUUUCUUUCUCACUGAGUGGGCGAAGAUUGUGAGAUUUCCCCCCAUAUUCAACCUGUAAAGCCACAUUAGAAGAUCGACUCGUGAAGAUGAUUCUACUUCCUUUCUUGUCAUCAGGGAAUGAAAUUCUCAGGUCAUUCCAUACCUUAAUGUCCCAGACAUCAUCAAAAACAACAAGAUACCGAUUCUCCUUUAGCUUUUUGUAUAGCUUUUCAAGCAACACAUGUUCAUCCAGAUUUUUUAACUCAUCAUCCAUCCUGGAAUGUUUGCCUUCAGAGCACAAAAUUUGAAGUAAUACAUUUUUCAUGUUAUAGGCUUGAGAAACAGUACACCAAAGACGAAUCUGGAAGUUAUAGAUAAUUGAACUAUCAUUGUAAACCUUUUUGGCUAAAGUUGUUUUACCAAGCCCAGCCAUUCCCACAAUGGGAACAAUUUCCACCUGUUUUGAUCCGCUUACAAGUCGUUCAAUUACUUUUUCUGCCUCAUCAUCAAGACCAACCAUGACUUCAUGGGGUAUUGGCAUUUUUCCUUUUGAUAGCACGCGGCUGGAAGUCUUGCUUACUUCUGGUACUCUUAAGCUAUGAAAGGAAGGAAUACUUUCAAUAAUGCUUGAGCCACUGAUCUGAUCCUUAAAAUACUUGAUAUGGAUGUUGGUAUUAGCCAGCAUAUCAUAACAGUCAAGGGCCUCUGUGGAUUCUGAGAGACUAACUUCUUCUUUGACUCUGUUUAGAGAAGGCGAGCAAAUUAUAAUGGCUGCCUCACUAAGAAGAGCACCAAUUUUUUCAUUUUGUUCAUCCAUCUUCUCCUGCUGCUUCCUUAAAAUGCUUCUCAAGAACUUCAGUCCUGCAUAGAGUAUUCGCAUUUCGUCUUUCAAGGAAUCCAUAAAGCUAGAGCUGCAGCAUAACUGCUCCCAAAGACAACUUAUCAGAGAAUCAUUUAAGUUGUUCAAUAUCUGCUUAUCCAUCAUUUUAUUAUGCAGUGAUUUUGAGGAUCUUGUAGCUCUAAGAACAUCCAUAUAAAUCUCAUAGACUUGAAAAUCAAUAGGUGUGAUUUUCUGUUGUUGCUCAUAUAUCAUGGAGCAGAACUCAGGAUUGUGCAGUUGCUCAUCUUCCCAAAAGGAACACAUGUAAGAGAGGCGUGCUGCGUUCAAAGCCACCACUUCAAAGUGAGCCAACAGCAGGGCAGGAAUAUCUACAGUUCCUCGCAAUUUGGCAAAUGGAAUGAAGCUUUUCAAGAAUGUUAGCUUGGCUUCAAGGGCUUGUACUUGAGCACUCAAAGCAGCAGAAAUAGAUGAUUCACUAAUUUUCCCAUCCAUAUAGCCAUUUAUCAAAUCUGCUAGAUUUUGUAGGAUGAGGUCUAUGAAUUCCGUUAGUUCAUCAUCCGUCAUACAAGAAUUUGAUUGCAAUGACCUGCUGCUUGCCAUAGCAAAGUAAAUUUGGAUGAUUUCUUGCUUAAGUAACUCGAUCUGUUUCUCAAUUUCGGGGAACACUCCUCGAUUAACAAUAGAAUAGUGAUCUUUAUCCGUUUUUGAUAUAAGGGAAAGAUAGUGAAUGUCCUCCUCGUAUUUGUGGAAGGUAUCUUCAACGCAAGAUAAGAAAGAUGGAAGAAUCACCUUCUUCGCUACAUCGUCAGAUUGCAAGUACAAAUCAUUGCUUUGGCUCCACUUUCUUGCAUGCAUAAGAAAUGUUCUGAGAAAUUUCAUGCGUUUGAUGGCAUCACGAACACGAGGAGCAAUGUAAGUAGCAUACCGGCUUCGGACGAUGUUCAGGAGCAGCAACUCUAGAUCAAGUAAGACCCGAUCGAUGCUGCAAGUGGAGACCAUCUCCUAUGCAGGGAUUUUCGUCUCAAAUUUUAAGAGAGAAGCAAAUCUCACUAAUUGCAGAGCCAGCAAGUAUUUCUUUCCUGAAAAUUACUUCUUUGCUUUUCUUCUUCUGAAGAGUAUUGAGAUAAUCAAUUAUUCAACCAGGUGGAAUUGGCAUCAAGGUGGAACCCAGACAAUGAUAAUACUACAACUAGGAGUUGGGCACCUGAGGAUUUAAAAGAUACCACAAUUUUGUCAUUUUAGCAAAAGUUAGUGUGAAAAUAAAUCGUGGGUCAUUAGCAAUAUUAUUUGCUCAUGUCUAACUACAAAAGGAAGUUGAUAAAAUUAGUUGACUCUGUUAUCAACAUUUUAAUGGGGAAAUUUGAUAUGGCAAUCUCUCAUGGUUACAGAGAAAUGCAUUCUUGAAACAUUUUCUGUUGUGGUCAUUUCGAUAACUAAUGUUGUUUUUGGUUUGUAUUACAACUAUGAAUAUGUAUUAGUUUCCCUAGUCAUUACAAGCUCAUUAAUUGGAGUUGAUCAAAAUUUUGUACGCUUUCAAACAGAGGAAGAAACAAAAGAUCAGCAAGGUAAAAGAGAAAAUGUUGGAAUUAUCAUAAAGACAUCUUGUGUUCAGCAGAGCAAAGAAGUUUUCAUUGACAAGUUUAUUAUUUUUGGACUAUUUCAUACUCAUAUUGGGGUUGAGAAGGCGCACUCUGGUAUUUUCCAUUAGCAAAGGGUUCCUGCACCUAUACUGCAAAAGCUUAAAAAUUUAACCAAUUGCUCAGUUCAGACUUGUUUUAUCAUAAUUAGGACUGCCACUCAAGUCAUGUGAGUCGGGCUUUCAUAAGUUCAAUUUUAACUCAUUUAAUUUGUAACACUUUUGAAUUUCGGGUCGUGACUUUCGGAUUAAUAAAUGUGAUGAUCAUACUCAACUCAUAAAAUAUUCGGAUUUUGAGUCUUAUUGGGGCUUAGUUCAUGCUCAGUUAUUGCUCCUUAAUUUUCUUAAUAUAAUUACUAUAACUAUUAAGUUAUAAAACUAAUUUAAUAUUCACAGGACUAUAACAUUAAAACUAAACAUAAACAAGUAAUAAAUCUUAAAAAGUACAUAAACCAAAAAUUUUUCAACACAUUUAUAUCUAAUUCGUUCAAAAUAUAUGAAAAAUACUAAUAAAACACGCGGUCAUAAGUCAAUACAUUUUCAAAAGUUGGAACUUCUUCAUACUUUUGUGACUUGAAUCAAAACAUACUUGAUGAUUUAUGUUUCUAGACCAAAAAGAAAUCAACCAAAAAUUUUGCUCAACCAAUAAGAAAAGUUAAAGUUUCAGUUAUGUAAUAUCAAUAUUAGCUUUCAAGAAAGUUAGUAGAGAAAUCUUCAAAUGUAUUUUUGUGUUUUGUAAUUUGUAUAUAUUUGGUAUUAGUAAUAAUAUAUUUGGAUAUAUAAUUAUAUUAUAUGCAUAUCAAUAUAUAUAUAGCUAAUUUAAGGGCCGAGCUUAAGUUGGAUUUGAGUCUAAUGAGGCCCAAACUCGAUUCAUAUUUAAUUCGGGUAUAAUUUUUAGAUUCAAACUCAGAUCGGUUCAGUAAAAGGUCGGAUUCAUCCAUCUUUUUUUGGACCUAACAAGUCGACCUCGGGCUAGCAUGGCCCCAUUGACAGUCCUAAUAGUAAUAAAUAUAAACACUAAGAUAAUAAAUAUAAAGAGUAAAAUGAUAACGUUCAAAAUUAAUGAGUGCAUUGAUGUUACCAAUAUACACUGGUUAAAGAAAAUGAUUGGAUUAAAGAAGUAAAAAAUUCUACUAAUUAGUAGCAGUACUUCUUUUCAAGAGUUAAGACUUAAAUGUAGGCUAAUUAUGUAUACUAAUUUAUAUACUUGUAUCAUAGGCAUAUUUUUCACUUACCUUUUCAUCUCAUAUAUAUUAUAUAAAAAAGUGAUACAGAAUUUUUAUAAAAAAAUAUUAUCCAAAAUAAUCUCCUAUCCAGACACAAGUAUAUGCCCAUUUCAGUGUUACUUGGGCCAUUGGAAAUUAAUUGAAAGUCUUCUCCUUAGUCUUUCUUCAACAUUGAGGGCGUCCAUUCAGAAAAUGAGAGAGAAGGGGACUGGUCGUUCUUCGGGUCAAGCACGGCCAGAGAACCCUCCCUUUCCUUGAUUUCUAACACAGGGUUCAUGGGUAAGGCAUACCCAUAUUUUUAAAUGUUUGAUAUCAAUUCUUAUUAUUCACAUAGAAAACUUCCAUGAGUUGACUGAGAAUUAGGUCUUGUUCGAUAAUUCAAUUCAACACUUAAAUUUGAUGGAUUCAGAUCUUAAUAUGUUCAAACGCAUUUGAUAACAAAAAAUUAACAUUUGAAUUAAUUACGUAGCACUGAAUUUUCUUGAUAAAAUUUACUCUAAAAAAUAAAUGAUAACCUAUUCAUUUAUCAUUAACACUUAAUGUGACAUGUAUUCAAAUAUGUCAAGUUUAAUAUUUAAUAAUUAAAUAAUUUAAUAGAUUCAAAUUUCAAAUUUCACUCUUAUCAAAAUCACCCUACUCCCACUACUCUCAAAAGGCAGAACCGAAAUGCAUGCUAAUAGAAGAUCAAUUCAACUCUUAACAUUAGUCUUUCUUCCACAUUCGGGGGGUCCAUGUGCAGCAUUCGAUGGAUUGAUGGAGACCGGAUAGUGUUCUGGUCAAAAACGGCUACUGGACGAUCCCUUUUCUUGUUCUUUAAUUCAAGCUUUAUCCUUUAACGGCCAAUGUUUUAGUUGGGAGAAGAUUUCAUUCACAAUAUUCCCUUUUUUAUGUGUGGGUAACUCUAUUCAGAUUUUUGGAUAUGAACAAUUUUGAUCUAAUUGAUAUACAUCGCAAGAACAUUUUCAUAUUCUCUUGUGGUUAAAUUUAAUAAUAUUAUACACAGCUAAUGAAUUGAUAAGGAUUUUACGGAAUUAUAUUUAUCUUUUAGGUAGAACUACAAACGAAUCUCGCAAACCAACUUUUUAACAGCGAAACUGCCUCAAUAUUGGCUGGCUGAGCUCAAGCAAUUUGACCAAAGUAUCAGAUCAAGUAGUUUGAUUAAAAAAAUACUCUUAAACCUCAUGGUAUGCAGGCAUACUUCUUAACAUUAUUAUUGAUCAUCUAUUUUAAAUUCCUUCAAAAAAAAUAUUAUAAUUAAUAUCCACUUACAUAUGAGCUCGAUCAAAUCCGAUCUAUACAAGUGGACGUCAUCUCCAUCUCUUAUAAUGCAAGGAACUUCCUCAAUUUGACUCUCAAAUUUUAGUGUAGCAUGAGGAGAAAUAUUAGCAAGUAUUUCUCUUGUGGGAUAUUCAAUUAUUAGACAAACAAACGGAGCAAGAAACAAAAGAUUAACAAGUAACAACGUAGUAAUGGUGAUAGUAGUGUAGGAAUUACGAGAAAGUUACAUCUCGGUUUGGUAAAAGCAAAGAAUUUUUUUUAUUCAUUACUUUAUGGUUUUUGAAUGAAUUAUUUCACUCUCAUUUUGUAGCCAAGAAGCACCAGUGUCGGCAUUGUCCACUAAUAAAGGGACCCUACACAUAGACCCUUUUUUUUUUAUUAAAAAAUUUUCGCUUUCCAUAAGGCAAGACUUUCUUGGAAUUUUCGGGAGAAAAAGAGCAUAUAAGAGGCCAAAAAAAAAGAAAGGAAAAAAUUAAAGUCGAACAGGAAUUUUUAUUAUCACGAAAAUAGUUCCUUUCAUUUUCAAGUGAAAGGGAAAAAGAGAAUGAUAGUUUAUAAUUAGUCAUCUAUGUUAGCUUUAUUUCAUUUUUUUUUCCUUUUUGUUCAAAAUUCAAGCAUUGUUGUUCAAUAUGCAUGCUCCAAAGAUCAAUCUUAUAAUCCAAAAAUCAAUAGCUAGUUUUUAUUUUCAAAAGAAAAUAGUAAAAUGACUUCAAUAGAGAUUUUAGUUUGAUGGAAUCUUUGACUUGAGUUUAUAUAAUUACUAACAAGGGCCUUAAGCCACGAACAAAGACUAAAGAGGAGUCAGCAUCAGUCCGAGAUUACGCUUCACGGGUCGGGUGUUCUUUCCGCCUAACAGAUUUGUAACUCGAACCAGUUCUAUUGGUUCGACAAAAAAUUAAAUCAGAACUGUGUCUACGGUUAUAGAGUACUCGAAUGACCGGAUAUUUGGCAAAGCGGUUCACGGACCCGGAGGUACUAAGACUCAGUACCAAAGUUAAAAAAGAAAUCAUAUUUUCAUAAUUGAGAAUUAGAAAAUAAGUAAACAACUAAAAGACUUUAUUUAAAUAUAAUUCAUUAUUUGUUAAGAAAGAUCACAUAACCAUCAAUACUUGCAUAUUCAUAGUAAAAGCAAGUUUGUAAAUAUCACUUAUUCUCAGCAACAAAAGCUAAAUAUAUUACUAGAUAAUUAGCAAGUUAAACAAGUUAAGACUUUUAUAUUGUUGAGAUAGUCAAGUAUAUCAUCUCAAAUAUAAAUAUUUGAUGAAAGAUGAUUAUAUAUUCCUCUAUUAAUUUUAGUUUUAACGGACAAAAUUAUAAGUAUAUCCUUACAUAUGAAUUGGGUCCGAUCUGCUACUAUCCGAAUUACACAUUAAAACCAAUUCGAGUAUCCUAUAUUUACGGUUCAUAUCGAAUCAAUGUUUACAAUUUUUUGAAUUUCUCUGAUCAAAAUAAACAACAUGUGUUACAUAAACUUGCAAAUCUUUAUUAAUUAAUGACAAUCAAACAAAAAUUUAUUCCUAUCAUACCAUACAACCCAACAGACAACGGGAAAAAGAGGAAAUCAAAGAACAUUAAAGUGGUUAACAGUUGAGAAUUUUUUACAACCAAAAUUUAGCCAACUAAUGAAAUCUAAUUGAGCCACCCAAAGAAGGGGAAUUGAUAGGAAAAGAUGUAGCUACCCAAAGACAUGGGGCUUUAGGACGCUCCCAAUUACGUGUUUAGAUUCCUUGCCCGCAAAAAACGCAGGAGCUCCCUGGAGGCCAUCAAUCCUUUCAAUUUUUACCUCAAUCUUCCACAAAAACAUCAAAGAAAGCCAGACCAUACAGAUGACUAAUUACGAUCUCGAAGAAAAACUGCUACGUACCGUAGCACUCCCUGAUGACAUAUCAUCAAGAAAAAAUAGAGCAAUAAUUAGUUGUUUGUUCAUCAAUUUCAUUAACAAAAAACAAAAAAAAAGAGCAUUUAAUUAGUUGUUUGUUCAUCAAUUUCAUUAACAAAAGCCAAAAAAAAGAGCAUUUAAUUAGUUGUUUGUUCAUCACUUUCAAUGUGCUCGUGCACACAUUAUAGGCAACUGAAGUACAAAAAAGCUACCAGAAUGUAAAUAUAAAUUAAACUCCUUUGAAUGAAAAAAGCAUGAUUAUUUCUACAGGCCAAUUAAUGGUAAUGACAAAAAAAAAAAUUACCUAAUAUUGCACCAGCUGAUGCCCUUCAAUAUUUUCCAUAAAUGAUCUUCGGAUUCUCAUUUCCAUUAUAUUUCUGUGCUUCUUCAAUUUCCCGUACUAAAGAUUUGACACCAUCUCCGCAAAAACUCACCUUAAUUGUUUCAAGAGUAGAUAUACGCCCAAAACAAGCAGGCACCAUUUUCAAGCUAAAAAUUUUGAGGAGUUUUAAUUGCUGAAGGCACGGGAAGUAAUCAUCAUUCAUCACUAUCAGGGUCUGUCUCUAUCCACUCAACAAUCUCUAGAGAUUGCAAAGUCAAGACCCUGAGUUUAGGGAAUCCUCCUUCCACCAGCUCCCAUUUUUUGCCGUCCAUUGACCGCUGUCUUAAUUUGAGGAGUUCAAGAUUGGGUAGUUGUUCAAUCAAUGACAUUUUUCUACAGGGAAGACUCAGAGCUUCAAGACUCAACUCUUUCAAAUUCAUGGGAAAAGAAAGCUAAACAUGUUCCCGUGAACCUAAGAAGCUGUAGCCACCUAAGGUGAGUGACUCUAGGCACUCCAAAAUUGAGUUCUCCAAACGCAUUGUACCCGAAACGGAGCAUGGAUUUUUCCCCAGUUUCACUCUCAAAUUUUAAGGGAGAAACAGAUCUCGCCGACUGGAGAGCACGCAAGUAUUUCUUUCCUGAAAUUUCUUUUUUCCAGUGGGAAGGUGAAGAAGAGUAAUGAGAUAAUAAGUUAUUCAACAGACAAACGGAGCAAGACCAAGAAAGAACAGAUGAAUCAAAUUUAACGAGAGAGCGGUCAAAUAAGCUGGAAAUGAUGUUGGUUUGAAUAAAGUAAAAGGAAUUUUAUUGACUAACAGCAAAAUAUCUGAAUAACCUUUAAGCGGCCGUGCAUAUUGAUAAAAUGGUGCACGGUGUACAAAUCUCAUUGAUUGUUUCCACCGUGUCUUGACAAGAAAAGAGCCAUCGAUCCUUUCAAUUUUCACCUCAAUCUUCCACAAAAGCACCAAAGAAAGCCAGACCACCCAAAUGACCUUCACACUCCCUGAUGAAAUAUCAUCAAGAAAAAAUAGAGCAAUAAUUAGUUGUUUGUUCAUCAAUUUCAUUGUGCUCGUGCACGCACUACAGGCAACUGAAGUAGUACAAAAAAGCUACCAAAAUGUCAAUAAAAAUUAAACUCCCUUAAAUGAAAAAAAGCAUGAUUAUUUCUACAAGCCAAUUAAUGGUAACGACAAAAAAAAUUACCAGAUAUUGCACCAGCUCAAUCUAUGAUGAUGACCUUCAGAUUCUCAUUUCCAUUAUAUUCCUGUGCUUCUUCAAUUUCCCUCACUAAAGAUUUGACACCCUCUCCGCAAGAACUCACAUUAAUUGUUUCAAGAGUUGAUAUACGCUGUAGACAAGCAGGCAUCAUUUCCAAAUUAGAAAUGCUUUGGAGUUUUAAUUGCUGAAGGCACGGGAAGUAAUCAUCACUGUCAGGGUCUGUCUCUAUCCACUCAACAAUCUUUACAUAUUCCAAAGUCAAGACCCUGAGUUUAGGGAAUCCUCCUUCCAUCAGCUCCCAUUUUUGGCCGUCCAUUGAACUGGUCUCUUAAUCUGAGGACUUCAAGAUUGGGUAGUUGUUCAAUCAAUGACAUUUUUCUACAGGGAAGACCCAGAUUGAAAGGCUCAACUCUUUCAAAUUCAUGGGAAAAGAAAGCUCAACAUGUUCCCGUGAACCUGAGAAAUACUUGCCCCCUAAGGUGAGUGACUCUAGGCAUUCUAAUCGACUCAUGUUGCAGCAUACUCUAUUUCGUCCCCCACAAUUGAAAAUUUGAAGUUGGUGAACGUUGGGAAUCCUUCUCAAUAUGUUCUCUCCCUCUUGAUCAAGAUAAAGACACAGAUUUGAGAGUGUGUCUAAAUCGGGUAAAGUGGAGAGGUUUUCAACAACGUUGUCGCUGGAAGAGAGAAGAAUAAUGCAGUUACGCUGUACAUGUACAUGCCUCAACUUCUUCAUGUUCCAGAUGCUAUCUGGCAAUGAAACCGUCGUGCAAGAAUUUAGACGGAAGGUUUCCAAAUGUGAGAGCUUGGCUAUAGAUGGUGGAAUGAAUUCCAUGGGCUGAGCUGUACGAAGGGCUAAGUACCUCAAACAAAGAAGUGAUUCGACUUCAGCUGGAAGCUCCUUCAACAUUAGGUUAAUGUCCUCUAAAUUCAAAACUUUAAGACGUUUGUAGAUGCAAAAAGGAGGAGAUAUUAAGCAUCCCAAACUUAUCUCCUCGAGUAGCAUUGAAGAAUAGCAGAGUAUCUAAAUCUGGACAAAAUAGUUUUGACUUUAUAAAAUCUUCUUCACUGCAGCAAAUGGACAACCGAUGUAGGUUGGGAGGCUCAUUAAAGAUAGAAAGCUCAUCAUAUCCACGCAGGAUCUGAAGAAAAUUUUUUUCUUUCGCCACAGUCUUACAGAACUCUAAUAUCAAAUCGUGAAUGUAACAAGUUUUGCCUCCACCAAUGGAUCUGUUUUCACUUACCAUAACUAAGUUUCGAUGAAUUAGGUCCAUCAGAUAUUCUUCUGCAAUAUCCUCUGAUCUCUUUCCUUCAAUUAUUUCCACGAACCCUUCUGCAAUCCAGAGACACAUCAACUUCUUGGCACCAAUUUUUUCAUCCUCUCGAAAUGCAGCAAAAUACAGCAAGCAUGCCUUCAAGUGAUAUGGUAAAUGCUCAUAACUGAGCUCCAUCGACUUUUUGCAUUGUUCUGCAUCAGACACCGUGGUUGAACUUAAACUUUCAGCAAAUCCUUCCCAAACACAAAUAUCAUGCUCUAUAGUUGCUAGGACUCCAGCUGCAACAACAAUUGAAAGUGGCAAUCCUUUGCACUUUUUGGCGAUCUCCAUUCCCAAUCCAUGAAUGCUUGAGGACAAUCUUCUUUUCCAAAAACCUUCUUCUGCAGUAAUUCCCAACUUUCUUUCUCACUGAGUGGGCGAAGAUUGUGAGGUUUCCCCCCAUAUUCAACCUGUGAAGCCACAUUAGAAGAUCGACUUGUGAAGAUGAUUCUACUUCCUUUCUUGUCAUCCGGGAAUGAAAUUCCCAGCUCAUUCCAUACUUCAAUGUCCCAGACAUCAUCAAAAACAACAAGAUACCGAUUCCCCUUCAGCUUUUGGUAGAGCUUUUGAAGCAACGCAUGUUCAUCCAGAUUUUGAAACUCAUCAUCCAUCCUCGAAUGUUUGCCAUCAGAGUGUAAAAUUUGAAGUAACACAUUUUUCAUGUUAUAGGCUUGAGAAACUAUACACCAAAGACGAAUGUGGAAGUUAUAGAUUACUGAACUAUCAUUGUAAACUUUUUUGCUAAAGUUGUCUUACCAAGCCCAGCCAUUCCCACAAUGGGAACAAUUUCCACCUGUUUUGAUCCGCUUACAAGUCGUUCAAUUACUUUUUCUGCCUCAUCAUCAAGACCAACCAUGACUUCAUGGGCUAUUGGCAUUUUACCUUUUGAUAGCAUGUGGGUGGAAGUCUUGCUAACUUCUGGUGCUCUUAAGCUAUGAAAGGAAGGAAGACUUUCAAUAACGCUUGAGCCACUGAUCUGAUCCUUAAAAUGCUUGAGAUGGGUGUUGGUAUUAGCCAGCAUAUCACAACAGUCAAGGACCUCUGUGGAUUCUAGAAGCUAACUUCUCCUUCCUUCACUCUGUUUAGAGAAGGCGAGCAAAUUAUAAUGCCUGCCUCACAAAAAGAGCACCAAUUUUUUCGUUUUGCUCAUUCAUCUUCUCCUGCUGCUCCCUUAAAAUGCUUCUCAAAAACCUCAGUCCUGCAUAGAGUAUUGGCAUUUCAUCUUUCAUAGAAUCCAUAAAGCUAGAGCUGCAGCAUAACAGCUCCCAGAGACGACUUAUCAGAGAAUCAUUGAAGUUGUUCAAUAUCUGCUUAUCCAUCAUUCUAUUAUGCAAUGAUUUUGAGGAUCUUGUAGCUUUAAGAACUUCCAUAUAAAUCUCAUAGACUUGAAAAUCAAUAGGUGUGAUUUUCUGUUGUUGCUCAUAUAUCAUGGAGCAGAACUGAGGAUUGCAGAACUCAUCAUCCCAACAAGAACACAUGUAAGAGAGCGUGCUGCGUUCAAAGUCACCACUUCAAAGUGAGCCAACAGCAAGGCAGGAAUAUCUACAGUUCCUCGCAAUUUGGCAAAGGGAAUGAAGCUUUUCAAGAAUGUUAGCUUUGCUUCAAGGGCUUGGACUUGAGCACCAACUUGGGGAUCCAUUUCAACAAUACACAAAUCGCUAGUUGUUAAAUCCGCUAGAUUUUGUAGAAUGAGGUCUAUAAAUUCCAUUAGUUCAUCAACUGGCAUGCAAGAAUUUGAUUCCAAUGAUCUGCUGCUUGCCAAAGCAAAAUAAACUUGGAUGAUUGCUUGCUUAAAUGAUUUGAUCUGUUUCAAAAAUUUAAAAAACACUUCAUCGCCAACAUCACGUAUGCCAAGUGCAUCAGAUUCCAACAUAAGGCAAAGAGAGUGAAUGUCCUCCUCAUAUUUGUGAACGGUAUCUUCAAUGCAAGAUAAAAAAGAUGGAAGACUCACCAAGUCCAGAUCAUUGCAGUGUCUCCACUUUCUUGCACACAUAACAAAUGUUCUGAGAAAUGUUAUGUUCAGGUACGCAGCUUCAAUUUUGAGAAAUGUUACACCCACGUCCGUAUAUCCAAUUUUGCCUGUUCGUAACAUGACAUUGAGGUCGUCCAUAAGCAACUUUAGAUCAAGGAAGACAUGAUCGACGCUGCAAGUGGAGGCCACGUCCAUCUGUUGUGCAGGGAUUUUUCCUUAGUUUCACUCUCAAAUUUGGAGGGAGAAAAGAUCUCGCCGACUGCAGAGCAAGCAGCCGAAAUUUUUUUUCUGGUGGACAGUGAAGAAGAGAAAUGAGAUAAUAAAUAUUAUUCAACAGACAACGGAGCAAGAUCGAGAAAGAACAGAUCAAUCAAAGUUAACGAGAGGGAGCGGUCAAAUAAUCUGGAAAUGAUCUUGGUUUGAAUAAAGUAAAGAAAUUUUAUUGACUACAACUGCAUAGUUUUUUGGAGUUUUUUUUUUUUUUUUUGAAAUACUCAUUUCGUUGUUGAGAAGUGGACAUCGCACGUUAACAAAGGUACUGACUCAGACUGUUUUACAAUUUCGCGCAUUUUGGUAUAAUCAUCGCGUGGUAAAAUGUACCGACUCCCAUUCCCUUUGUACAAUUUUUCCCAUUGUACAUUUAUAUUGACUCAAAUUGAAAAUAACUAAAUCAAUAAGGGAAAAACCUUCCGAAAUCUAAAGUGGAAUACGUGCAAGUGGUGGGUCGGGUUUCAUAGAAUUAUUGGGAAUUGUUGGGAAUUAUUGCUGCACGUCCCUGUCCCUGUUUUUGCAAUAAUUCCAUAGUUUAAUAUGUUAAACUUUAUCUUUUGUCUUUUAGAGAGCUGUUAUCUUAUUUAGUGUGGGUAUAUUAGGAAGAACAAAAAAAAUAAACCAUCAAAAUAUAAAUGAUCCAGAGACUUUUAUUGGGAGGAGUAUAGAGAUAUAAAUACAAAUAUAGCUUUAACUGGUUUCUUUUCAUUUUUUUUUUAUUUCAGCAUGUAUCUUCAAGCUAGCUCUCUAGUUUUCUUCAAUUGUUUUCCUUCUCGAGCAAACCGCUAAAUUUGAUCACUUUCUCUUCUAAUUCUUUCAUAUUAAUAAUCAUGACCAUUGAUCUUGGAGAUUAAUAGCCAUGACCAACAAAGUAAAGAGUCUGGGAAAAAAUACGAGGGCUUCUUCAACCUUAAAAUUGUGGAAGCAGAGAAUUCGAGAUUUCUACAAUUACUAGUGUCAAUUAUAUCAUAAAAUAUACGUAUUAAUAUAAUAAAUAUAAAUGCUAAGAUAAUAAAUAUAAACAGUAAAACAAUAACUUGUAAAAUUAAUGUUACCAGAGUGCAUUAAUGUUACCAAAAUACUAUAGUCAAAGAGAUGAAUGGAUUAAAGAAGUGAAAAUUUCUACUAGCUAAUAGUAGUACUUCUUUUCAAGAGCCAGGACUUAAAUGCACGCUAAUUAUUUGUACAAAUUUAUUUACGUGAAUCAUAAAUAUAUUUUUCAAUCAUAGUUUUAUUUCACAUAUAUCAAAUCAAAAUAGUGACACAAUACUUUUCAAAAAAAAUUAUUCCAAAUAAUCUCAUAUUCAGACGCGAGUAUAUGCCCAUUUCAGUGUUACUUGGACCAUUGGAAAUUAAUUUUAGUCUUCUCACUAGUCUUUCUUCCACAUUCAGGGGGGGUCCAUUUGGAAAAUGAGAGAGAAGGGGACCGGUUGUUCUCGGGUCAAGCACGGCACCCAUAUUUUUAAAUGUUAGAUAUCAAUUCUUAAAUAUUUUUAAAUGUUGACGAAGAAUUAGUGACAAUGGUCUCAAGAGUCAGAACCGAAAUGUUACAGCUAUUAGAAAUCAAUUCAACUCUUAACAUCAGUCUUUCUUCCACAUUCGGGAGGUCCAUGUGCAGAAUUCGAUAGAUUGAUGAAGACCGGAUACUGUUCUGGUCAAGAAUGGCUACUGGACGGUCCCUUUUCUCGUUCUUUAAUUCAAGCUUUAGCCAUUAAGGGGCAAUGUUUUAGAUGGGAGAAGAUUUCAUUUACAAUGGCCUUGUGAUUCUAAACUGCUCCAAUUUUUAAUGUGUGAGCAACUAUAUUGAGGUUUUUGGGACCCGAACAAUUUUGGGCUAAUUGAUAUAUGUCGCAAGAACAUUUUCAUAUUCUCUUGUGGUUAAAUUUAAUAAUAUUAUACACAGCUAAUGAAUUGAUAAGGCUUUUAUAGUAUUGCAUUUAUCUCUCAGGUAAGACUACAAACGAAUCUCGUAAACCAGCUUUCUAGCAGCAACGACAACUGCCUCAAUAUUGGCUGGCUGAGCUCAAGCAGUUUGAUCAAAGUAUCAAAUCAAGUAGUUUGAUUAAGAAAAUACUCCCAAACCUCAUGCUAUAUAGACAUAAAUUUUAACAUUAGUACUGAUCGUCUAUUUUAAAUUCCUUCAAGAAAAAUAUUAUAAUUAAUAUCUACUUACAUAUGAGCUUAAUUAGAUCGGAUCUAUGCAAGUGGAGGUCAUCUCCAUCUCUUAUAAUGCAAGGAACUUCCUCAAUUUCACUCUCAAAUUUUAGUGUAGCAGCAUAAGGAGAAAUAUUAACAAAUCUCGCCUUCUCCAGAUCUAGCAAGUAUUUCUUUUGUGGAAUAUUCAAUUAUUCAACAAACAAACGGAGCAAGAAAGAAAAGAUUAACAAUUAACAACGUAGUGGUGACAGUAGUGUAGGAAUUACGAGAAAGUUGCAUCUCGGUUUGGAAAAGCAAAGAAUUUUUUAAUUCAUUACUUUAUGGUUUUUGAAUGAAUUAUUUCACUCUCAUUUUGUAGUUAAGAAGCACCAGUGUCGGCAUUGUCCACUAAGAAAGGGACCCCACACCUAGUCCCUUUUUUUUAAUUUAAAAAAUUUUUGCUUUCCAUAAGGUAAGACUUUCUUGGAAUUUUCGAGAGAAAAAGUGCAUAAAAGGUGCACAAAAAAAAAAGAAAGGAAAAAAUUAAAGUCAAAGAGAAAUUUUUAUUAUCACGAAAAUAGUUUCUUUCAUUUUCAAGUGAAAAGGAAAAAGAGAAUGAUAAUUUAUAAUUAGUGAUCUUUGUUAGCUUUAUUUAGCUUUUUUUUUUUUCUAUUUGUUGAAAAUUCAAGCAUUGUUGUUCAAUAUGCAUGCUUCAAAAAUCAAUCCUAUAAUCCAAAAAUCAAUAGCUAGUUUUUAUUUUUGAUAGGUUGUCGAAGCCUGUGCAAUAAUAAAACCUGCUCAAACUAAAAGUGAUUUCUGUAAAUAGCGGUGAGCAGGGUCGAAUCCACAGGGACUGGGAGUAAUUAUUUCUUUUCAAGUUCACAGUGACAAGGGGGUGUUUUUGUGCAGAAGGUGACAAUCAAAGAAAUUCAACUAAAAUCUAAGAAACUACUAAAAAUUAAAUAACAAAUUACUAAAAUCUAAUGAGUGAUAAUUAAGGAUCUAGCCAAGGAAUAACUUCAGCAAUGGUUCACCCAAUUGAUCAUCGAUAAGCAAAGAUAAUUCCAAUUAUUUAUCAAUAAAUAGGUUAUAACUACCAAACAAGCGAUGGCAGUCAACCCCUCCUUACUGUGUCGGUGAUCAAGGUACGCCCGUUAAUCACUGCUCUAAUUGAGAAAUAAUCUAGGUACGCCCAUAGAAUUUAAUUCCCCAAUUGCCUUACGUAUUAGAGGAGCCCUAUUCUAACCAAAUAACGCACUACCAGGGUUAUUUUAGAUUAGCCCGCGUAUUCCCCUGACACAAACCUAAUCAUGCCAGUUGUCACUAUUUUAGAGCAAUUAAACAAUUACGGAUUUAAUGCCCUAAUUGACAAUAGAUUACCCAAUCAACUAAUUAUCUGGAUCCAAGACAAUCAAUUAAUUAAAUAACCAUAAGUAUAGCAAUCAAGAAAUAUGCGGAUACCAAUAAGUAAAAGGAAAAGAUUAAAUUAAAACGAUCUCACAAUUUUAGGCGACCCAAAGCAUCCGUUAUCCCUUGACUAGACAAGGGAAAUUAGUUCAUUGUUGCUAAACAAAGCCCAAACAAAAUUGCAGAGAGAGACGCAGCCAUCAAUUGGGCAAAUGCCCAAGUUCAAUUCGUUUGAAGGAGUACUGAAAACCGAAAUUGCAUCAGAUGGUUUAAUGCGUUAACUUGUCUGCUCAUACCAAGGAAGAAAACGAAACUGCUACAAGCUAAAAGGUGGAAAAGCUAACAGGAAAAAGUCAAGUACUACGGCUAAGCUAUCCUGCCAUGCGUAAGAAAAGUAAAAAGCAAAGCUCCAGGAAAAGUCAACAAUAAAGCUCCUAAGCUACAGACGAAAGACUAAGCAAAGCCAGCCAUCCUUUCCUCUCUGAAGCAUUCUACUCUAAUGCCUCGCCAUUGUGCGGCGGCUCCCCUCCGAGAGGAAGAAAAUUCGAGAGAGCCCAAGAAGACUUCGGCCUCCUCCUUUUAAUGCUGUCUGCGGGCCAAUUACCAAGAAGGGUUGUGGUUUGAUAUUCCAAAAAUGUCCCUAGAUGCCUGCUACUUGAACUCUUUUUUGAUAACUGUCAAAUUGGCCUUGAUUGUGAUAUUUUUGUUCUACUCCCUGAAAUAAAUAUAAAUUACGAAAAAUGAGUAGAAUCUAAUAAUUAAUUCACAUCAAGUCAGGUAAUAGGGGAAAUUAAUAAUAAAAUAAAUAACAAAAUUGCAAUCUAUCAAUUCCCCCCACACCUAAACCAUGCUUGUCCUCAAGCAUAAGAACAGUACACAGAUACCGAAAUUUGAUAACGGCUGUUGCUCUAUCUAUCAUAUUGCCAAGAUAUCAAGAAAAAUAUAUAUCAAGCAUCAGUGAUUAAGAUCCAAGAAACAUCACUCCGGUUAGCUUCUAAACCACAAAUUUCUCCAAUUUCAGGUUAACUAAUCUAAGAAAAAGGAAUGACGUGCAACAUUUAUCAGCAAAUGGUCCAACUAUUAACCAAAAUCUCAACAUUAAAUCCAUAAAUCGGCAAGCUGACUAUCACAACCUUCACUUUUUUUUUUUUAGCACAUUUUUCUACUUUUUUUUUUUUUUUUGAUUGAUUUUUUCUCUCUUUUCUUUCUUUUCUUUUUUUUCUCUCUUUUCUUUUUUUUUAUUCUUUUUCUUUUCAAUAGUAACAAAAGACUUAGUCGCUAGCCAUUUGAGCCUUUUGACGCGAACAACUCAACAUUGGCCAGAUGAAGGAGCCCGGUUACUCAGCUUCUAUCGCCACGUGACCACGUACUCAUAGGAAUUACUACUUUUUGACGCGAGAAUCAACACUUUUAGGUGCAGAUCCCCGGUUACUCAGUAGUAACUAAUAGCGGAGUACAGUCAAGUUUAUUCAGAACUAAAAAUCACAAAAACUCAAUAUAACACAAGAACCAAAAGAAAACUUGCAUCAGCUAGCCUCAUUUUCAAACAUGGAGAACUAAAGUUAAUAACCGGACCAAUUCACAUGAAAAUGUCAAUAAUCAUUCCCUAUGCCUAGGAAAGUUAACCAAAAAUUAUAAGAGUAAAACAAUCAUUGAUAUUCACCAAAGAGAUGUUUUUGGAUUCAACCACAUUAACUUGAUACCCUUUUAUUAUUAAAAUUGGCAAUAGUAAAAUAGAGGCAAUAAUCCAACAUCAAACCUUGGCAUGCAUUACGAGCCAAUCACUAAAAGAAGAAAGAAAAAAAAUGAAUGAAAGACACUAGCACCAUAACAGCUCCCCCCACACCUAAAUCCUACAUUGUCCUCAAUGGAGGUAAUAAAGUAAUGAAAGCGAAGAGAACAAUGAAACUUCCCUGUUGAACAGCUAAGGGAUAGGAGGGAACAGUGGAGGGAAACCGAGUUCUGAGACAUCCUUGCCACUUGGCGGGUGAUGUUCGUCAUACGCUCAUCUACGUUGUGAAUCGGAGCCCGCAAGUGGUGCGACUUACAUCAGAGGCCAUCGAUGGGGGAGGCGCAGAAGAAGAGGGCUCGGGUCUUACCAUUUUCUCCAAAUGUCAUUUCAAUCAACAAGAGACAAAAAUUGCCCACAGGUAAUGUAAACAGCAAAUUCAAAGCAAUAACAAUUUAAUAGCCACUGGUGCCUCCCUAGUAGACAACCCAAUCAACAAAAUGCACAACCCAGGCACCCGGAGACUAGACAAAUAUCCCAACAAUACAGCAAUUUCAAUCAAUACUCACGGGUGGCCCCAAUUGGGUCAAAUACAGGCUGUCCAAAAUCGCAACAAAUGCUCUAAAGAUUUAGCAAUUGAAAUCAAUAGGUAAAAUACUCCCAGCAAGUCAAUUAGACGCCACCAACAGCAAUAAGCAAUGGAAGCGGCACAGUAGCCUUCCAAUUUAACAAACAAAUGCAGAAAAUACCCAACUAAAGGCACUUCAAGGGACGCAAGACAGAAAUCAGCAAAGUAGAACCCAAGUGAUACCAAAAAUAACCUUAACAAAGUAGAAUUCAACCAAUUUGAAUACGUAGAAUACGGUCAGAAAUGCCUCCCAAAGAUCAACAGAAGUGGCAAAACUUGCCCACCCAAAAUCUGUCCAAAUGGCUCCAAUUGGACAAGAAAUUGCACAACUCAAACGAUCAAAACUUAGCAAUUGGGCCAAGCAAUAGGCAAUGGCAACAACCAAUGGUUAGAAUUCGAGAACAGUUCAGGCACCAAAACCCAAGAAUCAAAUAGGCAGGCCAGUACAGAGGAUUAAGAAAUGGAAAGCAACACUGCAACCAGUACCACUGGUGCACAGACAGGAAAGAAUUAAAUUCAAUGGCAGCAACUCAACCGCAAGAACUUAAACUGGAAAAUUAAUCAACCAGUACCACUGGUGAGUCACAGGGAAAAAUAAUCAAGCGGCUAAUAAUUCAAUAAAUAACAGAAAAUACCCCCACUAUGGCAGCAAUUAAAUCCAAUUCUGUCCAAAAAAACACCCCCAAAAUAUGCCUAAAUCACCCCUGCUAUUAGCUAUAAAGAAACUCAAACACAGGGUGGACUGGAAUGACUCAACUAAAAACGCCCAAUAGGCACAACUCGCUUAAUUAGGCAAUCCAGAACACAGGAUUAUCAGAUGUUAAACAACUACCAUCACCAGUACCACUGGUGAGUGCAUAGGGAGAAAUUAAAGCAAAUAACCAAUCCAGUGAACAAAAUAGAUUCGAACACCCAAACAGCGCCAAAAAUGAGCGGAAAUUAAAGCCAGAAGCAGUGGUCAACUAACUCCCAAAGUACCCCCAAAUAUCGCAGCAGUUUAACUCAACUCUACCCAAAAUUAGACCAGAAAAUGCCCAAAAUUACUGCCCGCUGUUUUCCAACAAGAAGCCCAAGCAAAGGUGCAAAAUUUCGCAAUUUAGGGUUCAGAAUAAGACAAAUUGAGGCAGGAAUCGCAAUACCUCCACCUGCCAACAAUUGACAGGUGGUAACGAGCUGGGGUGGAGCUGGCGGAGAUGAGAGCUCACGAGCUGGUGGUGGGCUGGUGGACUUCGUCGACGAGCUGCAGGGGGAGGAAGUGCGGCUCGCGGCUGGGCGACAGGCAGCGGCGCGCGGCGCUGCUGUGGUGGUGGUUGUGGAGCUUGAGCAGGCGGCGGCGCGCAGCUCAGCGAAGAGGGGCGCCAAGCUGGUGGAGGUGAGCUAAAGUGCAGCGGCGAAAUGGUGGCGGCUGGAGCGCGCAGGUGGAGAUGGCGCAACGGGCUCGCUGGGGAGAGAGUUGCGCGCGAGGGCUGAUGGACUGGUGGAGGUUGGCGCGCAGUGUCGGUGACGGGCCGCGGCGGACGGUGGUGGCAGAUCUGGUGGUCCGCCGCUGGUGGCGCACGGCGGUGGUCUUGGGCGACGGACCAACAGGGGAACAGAGUAGAAGAAAGAAAGAAAAGGGAAAGAAAGAAGAAGAAAGAAAGAAAGAAAAGAAAGAAAGAAGAAAGAAAAAAAGGAUUUUUUUUUUUUUGUUUUACGUUGACAAGUCAAGAACUGGCUACGGUUAAGGAGAAAGAAAAUUUUUUCCUUUUGAUUCUGUACUACUUCCUCUUUUUCUUUUUUUUUCUCUUUUUUUUUUUUUUAUUUUUUCAAAAAUUUUUUAUUUUUAUUUUAUUUUUAUUUUUUUCUUUUGUAACAAAAAAAAAAAAAGGUAGCUACGGUUAAAAGAAAAAAAAAUUUUUUUUUUAAUUCUUACCUUUCCCGCGAACGUGACGCGGGCACGUCAAGAGAGCAAGAGAGCUCCCAGAAGUUUCAGAAGUUUCUGAUCGUGAGCGUCAUGCACGUCACCACGCGGGCGCGUCAUGACUGAAGGGCACCUAUAAAUCAGCAAAAACGAAAAUUAACACCCAAAACCAAUCAAACUCAAGGAAAACAUAUUUAAACUAUCACACGAAAUCAAACAAAUAAUUAAAAGAAACAAUUGGGUUGCCUCCCAAUAAGCGCCUUUCUUUAAUGUCUCUGGCUAGACAUUAUCAUGUUUUGUUCAUGGAGGAUAAAAUCUCGUGGCUCGUCUUAAUGCUUCAUCCUCUAUGUAGUCCUGAUAACCCUCGUAAAUAGAAUAAUCCUUGAGCAUACGAGUUACGGGCUUCCAUGGACUAGUAAAUGGCGCUAAACAAGUCAACAAUGAUCUGCAUUCUCCACUCACUCCUCCACCACACGCAUUCAUCGGUUCAAGAUAUUUUCCAUUGCCACUCUUAACUUAUUCCUGUCAUGAAAUUUCAAAUUUUCUGGUAUAAUAAAAUCAAUUUCAGUAACAGGAAUUGAAGAAGAUGAAUUAGGAAAAUAUUGAUUAAGGAGUGGAGAAGAUGUCACCGCAUUUGGAAAUUGUUCACUGGAUUCAUUCACUUGAAUAAUUUGAUGUUGGAGUCUCAUGUCUUCCGCUUCAACUUCCUUUUCAACUGUAUCUUUGGAUCCUCCUUCUUGAGACUCUUGCAGUUCCAUAUCACUUGUCAGGAUAAUUGCACUCUCACCUUUCUUAGAGUCAUUGAUGGUCUGUGAGGGCAAGUCUGAUAUGAAUGACGAUUGUUGAGACUCUUGCAGCUGAAAACUCAUUGGCCCCUCUUCAUAAUUAACGUUAGAGUUAUCCCACCAUCCUUGAUCAUACCGGUUUGAAUAAGGGUCAUACCACGUUUGAGAUCGAGGUGAAGAAUCUCCAAAUUUUUUUUUUGAGAUAGUCACUCAGGUAGUCUUGAUAUUCGGGGCACAUACCGGUUGAAUGAUCCCUGGCAUAACAAAUUUCACAGGUUGCAGCAGCCAUUCUUUCUCUAACAGAGUUUAGUGCCUCUGCAUAUGCAGACCUCACAAAAAAACUAGCCUCAUUGCCUUCCCCGGAAAUAAAAUCCAGUAUAUCACCAAAAUACGGAGUGUAAGAAGCCAUAAACUAAAUAAAAAAAUGUAAACAAGAUGAAUUGAAAAAGAAACAAAUAACUAGCGCCAGUCCCGGCAACGGCGCCAAAAAUUGACAGGUUGUCGAAGCCUGUGCAAUAAUAAAACCUGCUCAAACUAAAAGUGAUUUCUGUAAAUAGCGGUGAGCAGGGUCGAAUCCACAGGGACUGGGAGUAAUUAUUUCUUUUCAAGUUCACAGUGACAAGGGGGGUGUUUUGUGCAGAAGGUGACAAUCAAAGAAAUUCAACUAAAAUCUAAGAAACUACUAAAAAUUAAAUAACAAAUUACUAAAAUCUAAUGAGUGAUAAUUAAGGAUCUAGCCAAGGAAUAACUUCAGCAAUGGUUCACCCAAUUGAUCAUCGAUAAGCAAAGAUAAUUCCAAUUAUUUAUCAAUAAAUAGGUUAUAACUACCAAACAAGCGAUGGCAGUCAACCCCUCCUUACUGUGUCGGUGAUCAAGGUACGCCCGUUAAUCACUGCUCUAAUUGAGAAAUAAUCCUAGGUACGCCCAUAGAAUUUAAUUCCCCAAUUGCCUUACGUAUUAGAGGAGCCCUAUUCUAACCAAAUAACGCACUACCAGGGUUAUUUUAGAUUAGCCCGCGUAUUCCCCUGACACAAACCUAAUCAUGCCAGUUGUCACUAUUUUAGAGCAAUUAAACAAUUACGGAUUUAAUGCCCUAAUUGACAAUAGAUUACCCAAUCAACUAAUUAUCUGGAUCCAAGACAAUCAAUUAAUUAAAUAACCAUAAGUAUAGCAAUCAAGAAAUAUGCGGAUACCAAUAAGUAAAAGGAAAAGAUUAAAUUAAAACGAUCUCACAAUUUUAGGCGACCCAAAGCAUCCGUUAUCCCUUGACUAGACAAGGGAAAUUAGUUCAUUGUUGCUAAACAAAGCCCAAACAAAAUUGCAGAGAGAGACGCAGCCAUCAAUUGGGCAAAUGCCCAAGUUCAAUUCGUUUGAAGGAGUACUGAAAACCGAAAUUGCAUCAGAUGGUUUAAUGCGUUAACUUGUCUGCUCAUACCAAGGAAGAAAACGAAACUGCUACAAGCUAAAAGGUGGAAAAGCUAACAGGAAAAAGUCAAGUACUACGGCUAAGCUAUCCUGCCAUGCGUAAGAAAAGUAAAAAGCAAAGCUCCAGGAAAAGUCAACAAUAAAGCUCCUAAGCUACAGACGAAAGACUAAGCAAAGCCAGCCAUCCUUUCCUCUCUGAAGCAUUCUACUCUAAUGCCUCGCCAUUGUGCGGCGGCUCCCCUCCGAGAGGAAGAAAAUUCGAGAGAGCCCAAGAAGACUUCGGCCUCCUCCUUUUAAUGCUGUCUGCGGGCCAAUUACCAAGAAGGGUUGUGGUUUGAUAUUUCAAAAAUGUCCCUAGAUGCCUGCUACUUGAACUCUUUUUUGAUAACUGUCAAAUUGGCCUUGAUUGUGAUAUUUUUGUUCUACUCCCUGAAAUAAAUAUAAAUUACGAAAAAUGAGUAGAAUCUAAUAAUUAAUUCACAUCAAGUCAGGUAAUAGGGGAAAUUAAUAAUAAAAUAAAUAACAAAAUUGCAACCUAUCAAUUUUCAAAAGAAAAGGUAAAAUGACUUCAAUAGAGAUUUUAGUUUGAUGGAAUCUUUGACUUGAGUUUAUAUAAUUACUAACAAGGGCUUUAAGUCAUGAACAAAGAGUAACGAGUAGUCGGCAUCAGUUCGUGAUUACGCUUCACGGGGUUGGGUGUCCUCUCCGCUUGACAGAUUUGUAUCCUGAACCAGUUCUAUUGGUUCAAUAAAAAAUUAAAUCAUAAUUGUGUUCACGAUCAUAAAGUGCUCGAAUGACCGGAUACUUGGCAAAGCGGUUCACGAACCCAGAGGUUAGGUACUAGACUCGGUACCAAAGUUAAAAAAGAAAUCAUAUUUUCAUAAUUGAGAAUAAGAAAAUAAGUAAACACCUAAAAGACUUUAUUUAAAUAUAAUUCAUUAUUUGUUAAGAAAUAUCACAUAACCAUGAAUACUUGCAUAUUCAUAGUAAAAACAAGUUUGUAAAUAUCACUUAUUCUAUGAAACAAAAGCUAAAUAUAUUAUAUAAUUAUCAAGUUAAACAAGUUAAGACUCUUAUAUUGUUGAGAUAGUCAAGUAUAUCAUCUCAAAUAUAAAUAUUUGAUGAAAGAUGAUUAUAUAUUCCUCUAUUAAUUUUAGUGUUAAUUUUAGUUUUAAUGGACAAAAUUAUAAGUAUAUCCUUACAUAUGAAUUGGGUCAGGUAUUUGCGAUUUUCAAAGUUUUUGGAUUGCGACAGAAUGUACGUCCUUGUUAAUCCGGUUUGCUGCUACCCGAACUACACAUAUUAAAACCGAUUCGAGUACCCUAAAUCUAUGUUUUCAGACUCGGACCGGAUAUCGACUCGGUCAGGGUCAGGGGUCAGGGGUCAAUGGGUUCGACCGGGUUCGACCGGGGGUUAAAUCAGAUGACGUCAUAAAUAAAAAUUAUUUAGAAAUUAAAAUAUUAUAUUUAAAAUAUCUAAGAUCAUGUUAAUAUUAACAAAGGUAUAUUCAUAUAUGUUUAAUGUUUCAAAUGUAUUUAAUAAUAAAAUACAAAGAAAUUAGAAUAAUCAAGGAGCAAUUUAUAUUAUUUAAUGAAUAUUAACAAGUUUAGAAUUAAAAUUAUGGACUUGAUUAAAAAAUAACACCAAACUUUAGGACAAUAUUUAUAAAGUAUGAAAUAUUUGAGGUAUAUUAAUAGUUUUUAACAACUUAAGGAUCAAAACAUAAUAUUGAAAAUGUUUUGAUCCUAUACCAGAUGAAAGUGCUUUGAAGUUUGACCCCACGCCACACCUCUCAUUUAUUCCUCUACUCCUCACGGUGUCAUUUCAUCUUCCUGCAACUCCUUUCUUCAUCUUCCACGCCAUUCUGCAACUCCUUUCUUCUUCUUCAUCUUUUUUUUUUAAUUUCAUUUUCAUUCUUAUUUUAUUAGUUAUUUGUUCUCAAACCCAUGAAAUAUCAUGCUUUUAUCUGAUUUCUGCAAACUGUUCUCUUCUCCACGCUUUUUUUUUUUGCAUUUUUGGGUCUUUUUUUAUCUUUUGAAUACAAGAUCUAAGAUUAUAUCUUAUUUUAAAAAAGGGGUAAAACAUUGAUUUUUCAUGCUUGAAUUGAAGUCAAAGAGUGAAAAUGGAUUUGCGGAGGAGGCGGAGCUCACAAGGAUUUGGGGUUAAGAGGUCAGGAAGGGUAAAAAAGAAUUUAAAAAUAGAGAAUAAGAAAAACCCGGUUCGUACGGGUUCUUCAGGUUUCCGGUUAAACCUGGUCAAAACCGGGGUUUGACCGAGUCUUGACCAAUCCGAGUUUUUAAGAUAGCUCGGACCGGACACUUGGCCGGUUUUCGGUUCAACCAGUCGGACCGGCCGGUCCGGUCCGAAUUUAAAAACACAGCCCUAAAUUUGCGGUUCAGAUCGAAUCAAUAUUUACGAAUUUUUGGAUUUCUCUUAUCAAAAUAAACAGCAUGUAUUACAUAAACUUGCAUAUCUUUAUUACCGACAAACAAACAAAAAUUUAUUCCUAUCAUACCAUAGAACCCAACAGACAACGGGAAAAAGAGGAAACCAAAGAACAUUAAAGCGGUUAACAGUUGAGAAUUUUUUACAAUCAAAAUUUAGCCAACUAAUGAAAUCUAAUUGAGCCACCCAAAAGAAGGGAAAUUGACAGGAAAAGAUGUAGCCAUCCAAAGACAAGGAGCUUUAGGACACCUCCUAAUUUAUAUGUUUAGACUCGUUGCCAGCAAAAAACGCAGGAGUUCUCUCGAGGCUAGUCUGUUUUGAGAACACAACCGAAGAAAAUGCUUGGUUCAACUUUCCAAAUCCAUGCAAGAGGACUCCUAGUAAAAUUAAGAAUAUUGCUACAACUCAAAACUAAUUUAGCAGAAUCAAUCUUAGUAGCAGGUGGAAAUUUCCAACCCAAGAUUAGAUAUCAGUGACAGGUUGGAAUAUUACCAUCUAUAACUUGAGAAACAGAGACUUUUAAAAUUAUUCAAAUCUCAUGAGCUCAAAACAUAACAAAGUUCCUUGACUGCAAAUUGACACAUGUUUGAAAAGAAAUAGUACACAAUCAUCACUAAAUUCAGCAAAACGAAAUUACACAAAAUACCCCAACAGCAAAAUAUCUGAAUAACCUUUAAGCGGCCGUGCAUAUUGAUAAAAUGGUGCACGGUGUACAAAUCUCAUUGAUUGUUUCCACCGUGUCUUGACAAGAAAAGAGCCAUCGAUCCUUUCAAUU